UUUGUAUUUGAUGAUUCUAGAUGUUUAAGAGAAUGAUGUAAAAGAUGUUUAUUUUCAACGUCAAAGGUUGUAUUUUGGAGAAUGAGAUGUAAAAAGAUAUGAUGAAAAAGAAUGUAAAAGGACUUGAUUAAAGUAAUAUGCAUGUAUAUGAUUUAAAGUUAAUUAUAGUACUUGUAUGUUGAGUAGUUAGAUCUUUCAUUUUGGCUAGCUAUUAUGUUUGCUUCCGCAUGUGCAAAUUUUAUACCCUAUUUGGACUUGUUGUUGAGCCUUGGGCGGACAGGAGAGGUGCUGUCCGUUCGACGUCUAUUCGACGGGUCCGAACCGGCCAAAUAGGACCAAGUUCGAGGUGUGACACAUAUGGAACUCUAGCUAAUCCGAUUUGGUUUGACUAGAUCUAGACCAUUAUAAAUUGGUUGCAUGGUCCGAAUUGGUUUAUCUAGAUGAUUUAUAUAUUAUAUGAGAAGCUUGUAUAAUUGCUAGGUGAAACGUGCAAUCAAAAUAUAUUUGGAUAUUAUAUUCGAUCUUCAAGUAUUUUUUUUUCUUGGAUAAGAUAAAGCACGUGGUAGAUGAGAUAUACCAUCAUAUCAAAUUAUGGAUACAAAAUCUUUCAAGUAGUAAAUAUCAAACUCCUUUCUUAGAAUUAUACUAUAAAAUUCUUAUACCAAAUAAGUUAUUCCGAUAUCCAAACAAGACGCAAACGUACAAAUUGUUAGGCGUAUGCCCUAGAAGCCAACCAGGCCGACACCUGUAUUCUUUUUAGGACAUAAAUUUGUAUUUGACUUUAAAAUCUUAUGAAUAAAUUUGGGUCCUUAAUUCCAUUCAUAUUGUGUAUGUGUCCAUGAAUCGUCCAAGAAAUUAAUAAGAUGAUGACAUAUAUUUUCAAGAGUUGAGAAUUUGAGACAUGUGUCAUUAGUGGUUAAUUCCUAAAUGCUCCCGAUCAAUGGAUCAUCACGGGGAUGGUGAUUGAUCCGGUGAGAUUGGUGCAUAGGUCGCUUCCCUUUUUGGUAGACGGGUUUCGAGUCGACAGUGUGGGACACUAAAGUGAAUAUGCAGGUGGUUGUUAGAGAACAAGGAUACCGAGCGUGACCAACACGAGAAGUUACUUGGAUGUCUACUCACUCGUCAGUGACUUACUCAAUGUUGCAGUAGUGUGACUGGUCCUUUGACCUGCGGUGCCUCCAGUAUUCAUAAUGAGGUUACUGUAGUUUGACUGUACAUACACUUGAUCCCUAGCCAUUUGGGUCCUUGCGGUGCAUGUUGGCUGCAGUAGGUUCAUUGUAGGAAUAGGGUGCGCACUUAGAAGGAAUCUAUCUCCCUUGGUAGAUAGGGGUGUUAGUCCUAUGUGAUUUAUGAGACCGAGUUUAGAAGACCUUGGCCAGUGCAGAGUUAAUAGCGAAAAAUGGUUUCUGAUAUUAGAAACUCGAAUCGAAUAAAUUUAACAUAUGACAGACGAUGGGGUUUGACGAGUUAUUCCAUAACCUCCGUCUAGUCGGGACUCAUGAUAGAAGGAUUGUAUCACACGGUAACUGCACCAAAGGGUUCUGUAUUCCAUUCUACUGGAAUGCCAUUACAUGCUACUAGGCGUCACUGGUGGAUUGUGAGACUCAUGAGAAUUAUCUAGAUGAUCGACAAUUCUUAUUGGGCUGAGUUGGAAUUAUUCCGAUCCACUGAAAGGAGUUUUAGUGAUAUUGUUGAUAAUGAUCAAAAUAUAUCUCACUACCAGAUAGAAUAGAACCUAUGGGGUCACACACAUAAGAGGUUGUGAUUGAUCGGAUAGCUAGAUCACAAUUAUUGAAUCGCCGGAGGACCUAAUUGUCAAUAUGUUGAUACUUGGACUAAUUUGUAAUUAUUACAAAUUAGUGGUAUUAAAGUGUAAAUGUUACAAGAUAGAACUUAAUAAUAGUUAGUCAAUUAUAAGAGGACUUAUGUGCAAAUGUUGCAUUAUUAAUUUGAUAUGAUCAAAUUAAUAUAAAGUUCAAGUCGAAUCAAAUUAGGAUUUAAUCGAUCUAACCAAUUAAGGAAAGGAUAAAUUUAAAUUUAGAUUUGUACUUAUCCUUAAUGGUUAUUAUAUUAUUAAAAAAAGGAUUAUAUUCCUCCAUAUAAUAAUACGGGAGUUUUUAAAAAACCCUACUUGUCAUCUUUCCUCUCUUCUCUCUUCCAUAUUCUAGCAAAAAGACAUCCUUUGUAAGGGAGCUAGCACCCCGGUGAGGAUAUCGAUCAAAUCAAGAAUCUCGUGUGGAUACCUAUAGAGGCCGGACGUGUGUUCGGCUUCAAGAGAACCUGAUUCCACGAUCAUCAAGUUGAGGUGAAAAUCUAUCUGCGAAAAAGGUAAAGAUUCGAUCUUACUUUUCUCCUUUAAUCUUAAAGAAUAUGAGGGAUCCUAAUUGCGUGGUUUUUGAGAUUAGAUCUCGAGAGUUUUCAAAAUCAAGUUUGUUUGAUUUCUUUUUCUGCUGCGUUUUUACCGUACGCAAUUUUCUAACACAAAUUUCUCAAGUAAAUCAUAAAAAUACACCAAACAAGAUUUUCGUGCAUCCAAAUAGGACCGAAGAGUGUAACUUUUUACUCAAAUCGGUUAAAAGUUUAACCCAUGUUUGGUGACUAUACAAUUCGAAUUUAAGGUAAGAUGUUUGGUCAUCAAAACUCGCCCAGGUUGGAAUCGAAAAACUUUGAUUGAGUAGUAAUAUUUGGCUCGAAUUCUGUGUAGACUAGUACCAUACGUAGUGCGCACGCGCUAUUAUUUGAUAUCUUGUUGAACUAUAUAGCACUAUAAUAUGAGAUCAAUCCUACCUAAAUCGUUGUGCGCCCGAUUCGAUCAAUUGUCACUUCUACUAGAAAAUUAUGUUAUAAGGAAAAAAUUCCAUCAAUCGUCAAUAAUUUUAUGAUAAUUUUUCAUUUCAUCUGUCGAAUUUUAACUCUCUUGCUAGAGAUAUUAAAUUUAAUGUUUGUCCAUUGGAUUGCCUUUUUAGGCCCCGUUUGGUAUUGCGGUAGGAAGCCCAAAACUCUUUUUUUUAAGUGCUUGGGCUAAGUAUCCCAUUUGGUAUUCCAAAUAAUAUCCCACUUUAUCCAACCGCUACCGCAAAUAUACCCCUAAAAUGCGGUACGUACGAAGCAUCCCACUCGAUGCUUUCUCCAAAUUGGAGUUUGGGAUUUGUGCGUUCCGCACAAAUAAAAUAAUUGAUAGACCAAAUUACCCCUAAAUUUAAUCAAAAUUUACGAGCUAUUUAAAACCCUUAUUUUUUCCUAAAUAGAUGAGAAACCCUAUUUUCUCUUCCAUUGGAUGUCUUUCUCUAGCCAACUCCCAGUAAUUAGGAGAGGAAAAAUUCUUUGGUUCGUUUUUCGAAAGGUGGAUAUCAUAUUCUCUGCCGUCUUUAAAUUCUUUAGCAUGUUUGUUUUUUUUUUUCAGUUUUUUGAGAGAAACAUGUUUUUUAAAUUGUUAAAUUUCUUCAAAGUUUAUUGUAUUAAAAAGAACUUGUGCCCAAAAUUUUUUCUUUUUUUGUUGACAUUUGAUGGUAUUUUGCCUAAUCAGAUUUGUUAAAUACAAUUAUUUUAGUUUAAUUUUUACCUUUUUGUACUGUAGGCGAUACUUUUGGGGGUAUAUAAUGUCUAAAAGUAAGGAUAUUGAGAGCAUUGAAUCUCGCACAAAAGCAACAUGGGAAAAAAAAUAUUAUUCAUAUAUUUUGUGACCUCUGUUUAAAAGAAAUUGAAGUAGGUAAUCGACCAGGAACUCACUUUAAUAAGAAUGGUUGGAAUAACAUAGUUAACAAUUUUAAAAAAGAAACAAAUAGAUAUUACGAUAGACAUCAGUUAUAGAAUAAGUGGGAUCAACUAAAGAAGGAAUGGAAGCAAUGGAAGCAAUUGUUAAAAAAUGAAACUGGAAUUGGAUGGGAUUCAUGGAGGAGAAUCGUUGAUGCAGCAGAUGAGUGGUGGCGGGAUAAGCUAAAGGUAUAUAUUUCACAUAUAAUACAUAACAUCUGUAUAUUUUAUUAUUCUUCAUAUUUAACAAUCAAGUUGUAUUUAGGUUUAAUAAUAUAUUGUUCAUUAAAACAUGUAGGUUUAUCCAGAAGCUGCCAAAUUUAAGUUACAAGGAAUCGAACUUGAUCUUGAAGAGAAAUUAGACCGGAUGUUUUUGAAUACUGUAGCAAUGGGAGAUGAUGAAUGGGCACCAUCAUCAGGAGUUAUUCCUAAUAAUCAAGUGGAUACAUUGAAGGAUAAGACAAUAUCAGAGGUUGUGGGAGUUGAUGAUUCUGAUGAGGAACCUUACAUGCCAACAGCAUUAGAUGACACAUUAGGUGAUGCAGAAUUUCAUAGUAAUGAGCCAACAAGAAAGCCCAUUAUACUUCGAAGGUCUAAGAGAGUAGUUGAUGCAUCAGCCUCAAAUGUUUCAAGAAAAAAGCAAACAAAGGCAGUGGGAGCUGCUAAACUGUCAACUUAGAUCGAUCGUUUAUGCGAUGUGAUUGAAAGUAGGAACUCAAUGUUGAAAGAAAAAUCAGUAUCGGAAUCUGCAAUCACCGAGGCAAUUCGUCCUUUGGACACCAUUCAAGAGAUUCCUAGAAAUAGCUCACUUUAUUACUUUGCUACUACAUUGCUAAUGAAUAAGGAUAAAAGGGAAAUGUUCAUGGUACUUGAAGCAGACUCAAAAGAGUGGUGGCUCAGGAUGGAAGAAGCGGCGAACAAAAAAUAGGAUAGUUUAUUGCCUUUAGGAUUAUUUAUGAAUAAUUUUUCUCUUUAGCAAUAUCAUUUGAUACUAUUUUGAUGUUUUGUUAGCACAUCAAUAAAUAGCAAAAACAAUGAUGAAUUUUUUGUAUUCGUAUUUUAAUAUACAAAAAUUUUUCAUUAAACUUAUAUUUCAUUUGUGGUCGAUUUGUGUUAUUGUAAUGUAGAAUGCAUAUGAAUAGGUUCUGAGAGUAUAAGGCAUAUUAAUAUGAAUUUGGUUGUAUAGUUAUAAAAGCAUUUUAUAAAUUUCAUGAUGUAGGUAAUGGUCCUAAUGGAUUGUUAUGUUACUCACAGUUCUUCAAAUAAUGAAAAUGAAUACACUGACAAUGAAAGUCAUUGUGAAGCAAUAUUGGAGGACGAUAUUGACUAUGACAACUUCGUAUUUGUACGAAGUUGUUUAAUAUCUAUGUAUUACCAAAAGUACAUAUGCAAAACUCCGUGUAUGACUUCAAAACAAACAGGAGAAGUUUGGGUGCGAGAUGUAUUAUACGGACAUAGGGAUCGAUGCAUGAUAAACUUUAGAAUGCCAAAGGAAGUCUUCGUUAGUCUAUUACAUGAUUUGCUAACCAAAUAUGGUUUGAAAGGAUCAAGAAAUAUUUCGACAAUAGAAAUUCUAGCAAUGUUUUUAUACAUAUUGGGACAUGGAGCAUCAAAGAGAGUUAUACGUGAGCGUUUUCAAAGAUCAGGCGAGACAAUCAGUAGGUGUUUUACGUACAUCCUUUCUUGUGUUUCACGUAUGGCCUGCGACAUAAUUACGCCACUUGAUUCACAAUUCAACAACAUUCCAGAACCAAUAAGAAAAGAUCAAAGAUAUAUGCCUCAUUUCAAGGUAAAGUAGAGCAAUAUUACCAUUUUUUUGUUGAUAAAUUUAUUUUUUUGACUUUGCCUUGAAUAAACAUUGUUGAGAUUUUCAUAUGUAUUUCAUUCUUAAGAAAUGAAUACUUGUAGGAUUGCAUAGGUGCGAUCGAUGGAACUCAAGUGCAAGCUCGUUUACCUCCCAAAAAACAAGUACCUUACAUUGGAAGGUCAGGUAAACCGAUACAAAUGUUAUGGCAGUGUGCGAUUUUAACAUGUGCUUUACAUUUGUGUACGCUGGUUGGGAAGGUACCACACAUGAUACUAGGAUUUUUUUGAGGGCACUAAGAACUCCAGAAUUGAAGUUCCCUCUUCCUCCACUUGGUAUUCAUUUUGAUUAAGUUUACUAUUUUAAAUAAUCCUUUCUUUUUUUUCUAUUAAAAGAAUUAUAAUGUUUUUAAUACAUGCUUAUCAGGAAAGUACUAUCUUGUUGAUGCGGGAUAUCCUCAAAUUAGAGGAUUCUUACGACCGUAUAAGAAUCAAAGAUAUCAUCUUCCAGAUUUUCGUCGAGGUGGGCAACCAUUAGGUUUACAAGAGGUAUUCAAUCGUACGCACUCAUCAUUACGUAGUGUGAGACCCCAGAUAGUCCUAUAUAUGAGAUAUAAUAGGGCUAAACUCUUAACCCGGCUUAAGCAUUUUGGGUGGUGGCAAGGCCCAAGAGGUUAAGAGAGUUAAGCGUGCUAGGACGGGAGUAGUCCUAGGAUGGGUGACCCCCUGGGAAGUCGGGGCGUCACACGUAGUGUGAUCGAGAGAACUUUUGGAAUUUGGAAGAAGAAGUGGAAUAUAUUACGAGAUAUGCCUAGUUAUCCAUUCAACAAGCAAGUACUGAUAGUAGUUGCAACAAUGGCAAUACAUAAUUAUAUACGAAGGCAUUGCUCACGGAAUGAUAAAGAUUUUAAGGAAUAUGAUGAAAAUCCAGAUUAUGUGCCUGAAGUGGAAAGAGAUGAUGAUAGGGACAAUGAUGACGAUGGUGAGGAUUGUAUCUGACGACGGGGUUAAUGAAAUGACCCAAUUGAGGGAUAAUAUUGCAGCUAGUUUAAGGAAUAGAUGAUCAUUCAGCUUUACUAUGUUCUUAAUUUGAAAACGCAUAUUUACAGAUUAAUUAUUUUUAACUUUAUGAAAAACCUCAUUAGUAUGUUGGAUUUGGUAUUUCGAAAGAAAUUUAAUUAGUGCUUGUUUUUUUCUUUAACUUUAAUUUUCGGAGUUCGCUUUCAAUUUGUAUGUCAUGGUGUUCAUGUAAAUCUGCCACUUUUAUGGAUACUAGUUAUAGUGCACGUGCAAUGCAUGUAACAUUUAAUUAAAUUAAAUUUAUAUUUAUAUUUUAAAUUUAAAUAAUUAUUGGUGGUAUAAAUUUAUUUAUCAGUUAAAUUUUUUCUAACAUUAAUUUUUUUUAAUGUGUAUCCAAAUUUUAAAAAUUUGAAGUAAUUCUAAAUUUUAAAUUAAUAAAUUCAGAUUUAAAUUUAUGAAUAAAACUUAAAUUUUGAAAUUAAUUUUGAAUCCAUAAUUUCAAUAUAAAUAAUUAUUAAAGACAUUAAUUUAUUUAUCAUCCCAUCUAUUUUUCAAAAUUGAUAUAUUUUCAAGUUAAUUAAUUAUUUUCAAUUUGAAAUACUGUUUACACACCCAAAAUAUUGAAAUUUUAAUUAAUUUCAAAUUUUAAAUUAAAAUAUUAAUUCACAUUUGAAAUUAUGAACCAAAUUUAAAAUUUAAAGUUGAUUUAAUAAGCUUAUUUAAAUCAUUUUAUUUUUCAAACCUUUUUUUUUAAUUAGCUAAUUGAGAGAUAGUAGAUACAAAAUAUUUUCAAUGUUUGUUGCAUAGAGAUUUUCGUUUUUUUGAUAAGUAUGGAAUAUUAUUUUAUGGGGCGCUUGUGAAAAAUAUUCUACAGCAAAUAUCCUUCAGUUGACAAAAAUUUGGAUAAGUAUAAAUUUCUUUCUAUUCUCGCAAAUGAAAUGCAAUAUUUUUUCCGACUAAAAAAAGGUUUGUCUGUGUCAACAAUUAUUUUAAUAAUUAUCUCAAAUCAAUAUCAAUUUGUGAAUCAUAUUUAUCUACAAAUUUAAAAUUUUAAAUUGUAAAUUUAUAUGUUAUAUUUUAUUGAAAAAAUAUCUCAUAUUUCAAAUAUUAAUAGGUAAAAUUGAGAUAAUUUUUAUAUAUUCACCUUUUAAAAUAUAUGAUUAAAUAUUAUAUAUGCGGAAGGUAUUAUGUGAUUGGAUAUUAUAUAGGGGGUGGAUAUUAUGUGUGAGAAAUAAAAUAUUUAGAAAUGCGAAUAUUAUUUGUUAUAAAAUAUGAUAUUAUGUGAGCAGCGGUUAUUAGAAGAUAUGUCAUGUAUAUAAAAAGUGAAAUUUGAUACGUACUAUUUGAGGGCAAUUUAGGUAAAAAAAGUGACAGAUACUUAAUUCGUCAGUCAUUGGAUUAGGUCUAAUGACUAAGAAUUAAUAUAUUUUAUGAUAAUUUAAAAAUAAAAUAAAAAUUGUAUGACUGUGAUUUAUUCCAUUAAAGUUGAAUGAAUGACAUUAUUAGUAUGUGAUUGAAAUUAUAUUAAUAGGGACCGGCAUUUUUGGAAAGAGAAAAAAAUUCAAAGCUCACGCUUUUAUAAGUAGUAUAGAUAUAGAUAGUUGAGCAUGAUGAGUAAAACAUAUUUUAUUCACAGGAUGAAAGUUGUUCAUAUAUGCUGGUAGUACAUGAGUACCAUGCUUAUGAAAUUAAUAGAUAAAUAUAUAAGAAAGUCGUAUCUAUUCUUUUGAUUUUAUAUUUAUUAAAUUGUCUGAUUUUAGUAAAUUAGAUUAAAAAUUAUAGUAAAUUUAUUAAAAGUUUCAUCAUAUUUAGCAGGUUUAAUUUAUUUAUUUUAGCAAAAAUUAAAAUAUUUAAUGAAUAAAAGUUAAUAGUAAAUUAAAUUAAUUAAAAUAAAAUAAAAUAAAAUUAUAAAAAAUAUUAAUUUUCAAAAGAAAGCAUAGUUGAAGGACCUAUUUUCUAAUGAAAUAUAGUUGAGGGUGUUUAAAUACAUAUUUACCAAACUAAUUUACCGAUAUAACUUUCGAAUCAAAAGUCCUGAUUAGUCAUUUUACAUUAUAACAGUGUUUUGAAUACUAAUUUACCAAACGCAUAGAAUGAAAAAACUAUCACGCUACCAUAGUCAUAUAGUUGUUUUGCCAAACGUCUGCAUACUUUUCCUACAACAGUUUCUAUAUAAAACAAUUUUUUUACAACAACUUUUAGAAAUACUUUUGCCACCGCUACUGCACACCCAAACUAAGCCUUAGACUCCGUUGGUAAUUCUAAACAAUAUUCCAAUAUAAAAUAUAUCCUCUCUUUAAGUUAAGUUAUGAAUAUUUUGUAUACCCACUAAGGAUGACAGCAUCGCCAUGAAAAUAUUACGUGAUGAAGCUAAAAUAAUUUAAAAUGAGGAACCUAUAUAUAUAUAUAUAUAUAUAUAUAGUCCUAGAUGGAUCCUUAGCAAAAGAAUAACCCCUUUCGGUGGCAUGGACCACAAGUGACUUUCCCCAACCCAUAUAAACAGCGUUUUGGUUGGAUUAAUUCAAUGCUGGCCCCACCAGCAUCCAAUGAAUGCACACAAGACUACACACACGAAUUAUGAUUCCGAUCCCCUCAACAGCCCAACCCUAACGGCUGACAAGGAGAAAUUAAUAACCAUUUCCUGACCCGUGUGUAUCUUAUCCAUCUAUUGUACAAAAAUUACUAUGAUCUGACUUUUGAAAAUUAUUAAAAUGUCUAUCAAUAAAUAAUCACGAGUAUUAAAUUCUAUUACUUCGUCAAGAAGUAGUCUUAAAAUCAACAUUAUCAAAAGAAAUUUUAUUCAACUCAAAAGAAACUAGGAUUCAAAUAAAACUUAUGAAUUUUGUUGUAUAGGCCAUUCAAAUAAUAUUAAAUAGAUCGAAUGAUUUGCGAGCUUCAUGUAGCAAUUAAUAUUGUCAUUUCUUUUCUUUCCAAAAUACUAAUUAUAUAUAUAUACAAUUAGAUAUACCUACAGAAGUACAUUACUCUUGUGUUUAAGGUUGUUAGCCUGUAAUGCAGCCUAGCUAGCUAGUACAUGGAUAACGAUUUAUUUAAAAAUAAAAAAAUCAAAAAAUUGCUCUUAAGUUUUUAAAUUUUUGUUGCCAAAAAAGAAAAAGAAAAAAGGAACAUACAGAUAGAAAUUACAAAUAAUCUGAUGCGGGUAAUUUAACGUUAGAGUUUCUUGAAAAGGGCGACUCAAUCAAGAUGAACGAAAUUUGCCCGACCUUGGUAAUUUUUAUAAUUGGUGUGAGAAAUUUAUAGACGGUUAUAACUUUUAGCUCGAGCGUGUGAUUUCAGCGAGCAAUCUCAACUCGAAACAUACUUUUUGAAAUCUACAAAUUGAACGGUAAGGCCGUUUUGGCCGAGUUUGGAACUCAAAUUUAAUUGUUUCGGUCUCCGUUUUAAGUUAUUUUUAGAAAGCUGUACCUUUUUUUCUUUUUUGAGUCUAAUUAUUUGAUUGUUUUUAAUCUGAUUUGGUUUAAAAAUAUAUUAAAAUUUAUUAUGUUUGUUUAUAGUAGAAUUUGGGCAUAUCAACCCUUUAUAUAUAAUUAGUUUUUAGAGUCAAUUAACAAUAUUUUUUAUUUUUGUUGAAAAAUUGAUUUUUCGUGUAUAAGUCUCUCAUCAUUCCGGUGCUUCUUCUCUCUCAACGCGGCUUUGAUCUGCAUGAUUAUCUAUCAUCCACUCCACUCAUAAAAUAUUUUAUGCACAAAUUAAUAUUUAUAAAACUAGCUAGGAGAAAAACUGCAAUGGAGGGGGUAGAUUUUGAAUUUGCGGUCCGUGUCCGUAUUAAUUAUUUAACAUUUGGACUGCGGUGCAUGUGGUGCAGGCAAAUUUUUGCGCUGACAUGAAACACCCACAUGCUCUCUGCCUCCCCCAUGUCGUGCUCGGAGAGGGAAAUGGCUGGAGAAACAGCUGGGCCCCGCAUAGAUUUGCCUCCCCCCUUUCCUUAAAUUGUCCCCGACUUAAAAAGAAGGGAAAUUAAGGAGACAAACACUACACUACUAGUACUAGUACUAGUACUAGAGCCUAAUAAGAGGAGCAUCCAAGGAAAAGGACCCGUGUCGGUGGGGUGUUGGGUCCCCUAAAAGCCCUGCACCCUGUUCCCCCUCUAUAUCUCUUCCCUCACUCUCAUGCCAUGCCAUUUUGCUCGAUCGUCUCGUCUUCUCUCGCUCUCGCGCUCGCGCUAUAAAUAAAUAAAAACCUUCACCGUUUUUCUAUCCAGUCUAGUCCAUUAAUUCGUCAAAUUAAUAAAGCUUGCAUCUCUCACUAUUUUCUUUUGCGACGUCCGAAUGUAAAAAAGGAAGAACACAAAAUAAAAUGGAGCUUGAAUUGGGACUAGCCUUACCCAACAACGAUUUGAUAAACGAAAUCGAUCUCAAUGAUUACACCUCCUCCUCCUCCUCCUCCUCCUCCUCUCACUACGUGGAGAAAGAAGAAGAUGAAGGAGAAGNAAGGCCGAGGAAACGAUGAUAAAGAUGAUGAUAGUGAUCAUCAAAAGGCCUUCGGCAAGUAAGUUAAAUGAUGAAGAGAAACUUUUCGGAAUGAUUUUGCCAAUCUUGUUCUGUUGCUUCCACUGAAUUGAGACGUACGUGGUGUAUAUAUAUAUAUAUGUACUAAUGGGGGCAGAGUGUUGGUGGGGUGGCCGCCGAUCAAAAGGAGCGGCAGCGGGGGCGGCAGCGCAAGGGCAGCGAUUUUUGUGAAAGUUAAGAUGGAAGGGGUGGCCAUCGGGAGGAAGGUGGAUCUCUCCCUUUGCAACUCCUAUGAAGCACUCUUCCGCACGCUUGAACGCAUGUUCCCCAACAGGCCGAAUGGUAUCAUCCUAUAGACCUUAUCUAAAUUAUUAUGGUGCAUCUUGAAAUUAUUAUUCGAAUGCUUAAAAUCUUGAUUUUACCGUAUAUAUAUUCUUAUAAUUUCAGGCUGUUUAGUUUCAGGUUUGUAAAGUUCGGAGAAUGGCGUAUAUUUUAUAUUUGGAAUUAAUGAUAUACUUGUUACUAACUUGUCAGCAAGUUGAGUUAGAGAGGUUUGUUACAAUUAGUAUUUUUUUUUUUUAUCGACGUACUACUAAUGAUUCUCAUUAAUUAAAUAUGAAAAUAAAAAUAUCUCAUAAAUCAUAAUAAUUUAGUAUUCGUGCCACCUAUACGUGAAACUAUAAUAAUUUCAGUACUUCACUAAUAUCUUGUGCAACUAUCUUAUCCAAUUUGAGUUGAAUAAUAAUGAUUUGAAUAUUUUCAAUUGAAAAUAUUUAGGAUUAUUGGAAUAUUUCAAACCGUGAAUCAAUUAAUCAAAUGGCCUUUUGUUUAACUUUAGUAUGUUUUUGUCAAGAGUCAACGGAAGAAAUUGGUUGGGUAUGAUUUGUAAACAUUUACCUUUGUUUUAAAAUUUCUACCAUUUUUCACUCCAAACUUGUUUCCUCUUUGGCGCUCAUACUAAUUGGGAUCAUAAUCUUGACAAUGGGAAUGGCGCAGAUGGUAAAACAGGUAAGCAAACGCCUAAUAAUCGUCAUCACUACGUGGUCACUUAUGAGGAUGGAGAUGGAGACUGGAUGUUGGUGGGUGAUGUGCCGUGGGAGUAAGUUGAUUGUGUCCUUAAUCUUCCCUAACUAUUGACCUCUGAAUCUAUGCAACAUUAUCUCCUCAUUGUAGUCGGUUCUGAUUUAAUUUGUUGCAGAGCUUUCAUCCGGUCGGUUAAGCGUCUCAAGAUACACAACUGAACAAGAAUUUGGGGCUUGUGCCCUUUCUCUAUGACCAUCAUUGUGCUUACUCUAUAGAUGGUUUUUAUUAUAUUUCCUAUGCAGUGUAAUUUAGGGCAGAACCAACAUAUUUCAUCAGCACUCUGCUUGUAAUCGUCAUUAUCGUCAGUGACUACAUUUUAGAUGUAUAAAACUACAGACUCUUGUAGGGUUUAUUUUGCUUGCUCGAUAUGUCAAAUUGACUUUUUAUGUUGGCUGCUUAUUUCUUUCCUCAUUACUGACUGCUUAAGUUGAUUUUUUAUUGAUGCUCGAUGACAGUCAGCAUUGCAAUAAGUUGUUGUUGUGUAAAAGGUAAUGCCUAAAGUUUUUAGCUUUUGCUAUUUUUCUCUUUCGCAGCCCAAAUCAAUUGAGAAAACCAGAGAGCUAGUGAAAGAAACUCAUAUCUCUAUUACCAUGCAGUGGACGUUUGUUUGUUUGCGUGUUUGUUUGUUGGUUUUUUUUUUUUUUUUUUUGGGGGGGGCCGUGCUAUCUUGUGAUUUCCGUCAGUGCUUAGCUUGUGAGUUCCAUCAGUGCCUUUGGAGAGAUUGAUAAAUUAUUCUUUGUCUUAGUACUUUUUCUUGCUUCCCCUCUUUUUUAUUCUUUUCUCAACCCGUAAGUGGAACUCUGUGUUUGCAGACUUUUCCUAGUUAAGGAGUAUUCAGUGCUUGAACAGCUUAGAAGAAUUCAAAGCCUGCUGCAUUUUCCAUUCAAUCUUUUGAGCUUAGAAGAAUUCAAAGCCUGCCGCAUUUUCCAUCAAAUCUUUUGAUUAGUUUUGAGUUAUGCCUGUAGUGCAAUGAACUUCUACAAAUUGUGGAGUUCUAGUGAAAAGAGUCCUAAAAGGGCUAUUCGAAUAGUUCCGACGAGGUUUGAAAAAUAUUCGAGUAUUUUCGGUGCAAACCAGGUGCGAAAACGGAUUCUGAGAUGAUAAAUCUGCCAAGUUGUAGAUUUUAUAUUGAGUAUCAGUACUGGAAUCUAGGUAUCGGUACACAAUACAAAAUGGUGAGGAGUAAGCUCUCAGGUUUUGAGGAAUUGAGAUCUGUGUAGCGGCAAAGAAAUUCCAGGUUCUAUAUUUAUAGUACACUGAACUUUAGCAAAUUGCAAGGUUCUAGUGUAAAAAUAGCGUUUUGAACUAUUCUAGCUGUUUUGGGGAUCAACAGUAGUGCAUCGAUUCCUUACUUAAGCUCGCUAAGUGCGAGAUUGGAAUACUGACAUUAAAAUUUGCAAAUUGCAGGGUUUUGAGUAUUGAGUUCCGGUACCUGAGUGGGGUACCGGUACCCCAGAGGGUUGCCAGAAUGGGUAGCUCUCGAGUUGAGAAGUUGGAUGUUGGGUACCGGUACUAAGUCGGUGAGUAUCGGUACUGGAGUUGAGUACCGGUACUGCAACAGGCAGGUACCGGUACACUAAAAUUUGCAAAUUGCAGGGUUUUGAGUAUUGAGUACCGGUACCUGAGUGGGAUUCCGGUACUCCAAAGGCCAGGGUUGCCAGAAUGGGUAGCUCUCGAGUUGAGAAGUUGAGUGUUGGGUACCGGUACUGAGUCGGUGAGUAUCGGUACUGGAGCUGAGUACCGGUACUGCAUAAGGCGGGUACCGGUACACUGCAUUAAGCCCGAAGACCCCACGCUCGGGUUUUUGCAUAUUUGAGUGCCGGGUACCAGUACUCCAAUACGAGUACCGAUACAUAAUGCGGCAAAUUGAGUUGGUAAGGGGUCUUUUAGUAAUUUGGCUGUUGGGUUUAUCCCCAACAGACCCAGCUGGCUCUUAUUGUGCCAGAGCGUGAAGAAAAACUGGUAGGCUACUCCUUUUUCUCUCUCUAGCUUUCAUUUCUAAUUUCUUUGUGAAUUUGGGGAUUGAUCUUAUUUUAUUCACCUUUUCUUUGGAGGAUUGUUCUUGCACCUUGGUGAAGAUUGCUGUGAAUUUGGAGGUUAGUUUGAGGAUAAACUUCAAAUUCUAGCUCAAGGUUGGGUUUGGCUUGGAGCUUUGAGAGGUUAGCUUUUUAUUUGCCUUUUCGGUAUGUGAUUUUCGUAGAAUUGGAGUUUGAUUUUGGGAUUGUUCUUGGCUGAGCAUUAGAACUUAAUUGGUAAUGGUUAAACUCUCUUCUAGGUUGGACUUAAAGCAUCCCAACCUUAGGUGGAGUGUGGAAUAGAGUUCUUCUCUAUUUCAGGUAUCUUUCUAACUAUUUUUUGGGUUGAAUUAUGAGGAUUUUAUGGGAGGCGUAUUAGAAACUCCUAAUUGAUUUAGAAUUGUUGUUAAGGUGCUAGAAGGCUAGAAGGCAUCUUCGUUCGAGCAACGAAGGGAUCCGAGGAAUAUCCGGUGGGUUUAACCUCACCGAAAUGGGUGAACUCCCCCUAUAUUCUUGUUUUUAUUAUACAAUUGGAAAUCAUGCAUACUCAUAUUAGAUACAUUAUAAGUGAAUUUUGGAUGUUUUAAUUAUGUAUGUCACAUAUGGCUAAGUCAUACCUUUAUGCAGUGGAAAGUGUUGCUUAUUAAUUAUGUGUAGUAUACCUUACAUGACUUGUAGUAUACUUGUGUAGACAAGUGAAAAUGGCAAUUAUAUGAUAACAUGUAGCAUGAACUUAAUAUUGAUGUGUAUGACUUAUUUAAAUGAUUAGAACUUGACAUUGUGACAUAGUCUCCGACCUAUGGGUCGUUAGAGGACAUGCCAUGUUUUAAACAUGACGAUUGAGAGUUUUGUAGUGUGGAUCAUGCUUGCUUGCCAUUGUACCCAUUCGCACAUGCUUGUGAGGGUCGCUUUCCACAAGUCGGCACUCUGGAGUUGGCCUACGUGACAUCAUGCUCACCUGUGCAAGAUUGGGCACCGAAGUGGAUUGCCGUGUGGAGUGUAUACUACCACGGGGCCCAUUAGGCAUGGCAUAAGCCGGACUACACUUGUGUAGGUCCUUAUAAAUUGUGUGAAGUUAACCAAAUGAAUUAAUUCACUGUCAUUACUAGAUAGUGUACAUUGGUGGACAUGACAUUAGCAUGUUUACUCAUAUUAGAGUAGUCUUUAUUUUUGUUAAAUUUUAUGUGCAUUGGAGGCAUGGUAGCAUUAGCAAUUCAUUACUUCUUUAAUAUUCAUAUUGUGUUAUAGUUAUGCAUGCUUAUUAUUUAUGCCUCAGGGACCUAGUGGUGUAAUUCGUUAAUGUCGGCGGCUUACCUACUGGGAACUAUUGACUAAUAGUUCUUAUGCCCAGUUUGUUGUUGUUUUUGUUUACAGAGUCAUUCACAGCGGGAGAGGCUAGGGAUCACGAUAAGGAGGUCGUGUCUAGUUAGGCAUAUCUUGGAGUUCCUACUAGGUGGUUGACGUCGAAUACCGGUCCUAAUAAGCACUAAAAGUCAUGUCGCUUUUUUUUUUUUUUUACUUCUUGAGUCGCUUAAUGCAGCGAGGUUGGUGAUGCCGUUCCUCCAAACGUCGGUCUCGAUUGAGGCCAGCCGACGUCACUAUUUGUUAUAUUUUGUUAGAUUUAUAGUUACCUAAAUUAGAGUUAAAUCCUAAUUUAAUUGGCAUUGGAUAUAAUUUGGCAUAUAUGGAUUAUAAGUCGGAAUCUAAUUCAAUUUUGAAUUAGAUUCGACUUGUGUUUAGAAAUCCAAUUAGAUUAGAGUUCUAAUUAGACUCUAAUUUGAAGCCACAUCCUAUAUAAAUAUGUGGCCAUGUCAAUGAAGCUGGAGAGCAAAUUAAGAGGCCAUUCAUUAAUUAAUUAAGUCUCUUGGAGGGUACGGAUGCUGCGGAGAGAGCCGAGCUUCAUGCUUAAUUUGGUGUUUCGUACAGGUGGCAGCAACAUCAUGAGCCAAGAGCAUAGUUAGUUAAUUCGGAUUCGGCAAAAAUUCGGUACGGAUAUAAUUCGGAUAAAAUUCGUUUUCUAAUUUUUAAAUUUAUUAAAAAAUACGGCUAAAAAACGGAUUUGUCAAUUAUUCAAAUACGUGAUUUAUACAGAUAUUAUACGUUCACCAAUUAAAAAUUCGGAAUAAAAAAUUCAGCUAUUAAAUUAAAUUUAUUUUCUUUUAAGAUUUAUGUUGUUAGCAUAAAUAUUUAUAUUUCUUAAGAAUACAAGAAUAAAGAGCUACAAAAUUAAACUGAUUAAGUAAAAAAAAUAGCAAACUAUAUUAUGUUUUAAAAUAAAUAAAUAAUUAAAUAAAUAAAAGAUUAAGAUAGUCUAUAAAAAAUUAAAUUUUUUUGAUCGAAUGAUAUCUUUAUUUUGGGAGAGGGGGCAAGCGUUGACGGAAUUAUUUUUUUUUUCUUUUUUCCUUUUUCUAUUUCUUGUUUCUGUUUAUGCCUUAAAAUAAACAGGAGGUUUUUUUUUGUUUGGGCGAGCGGCGCUCGAGCACUCGCGCUCGCGAGCGAGCCGCGAGGCCCGCGAUCCGUGCGCGAGCGCUCGUGCUCGCGCUCGCGGGCCGCGAGGCCCACAGCCAGCGGGCGAUCGCUCACGCUCGCGAGCCGCGACGCGGUGUCUUUUUUGGCAAAUUAUUCGGCACGCGGAUUAUUCGCGAAUACGUUUUUGUACCCGAAAAAACACGUUUUUUUUCGAAUUUUUAGAAAAAAUACGUAUAUGGUCGAUUAAUUCGUUUUUUUAAAAAUUCGCGAAUAAUUUACGAAUAAUUUAUAAAUUAACUAACUAAGGCCAAGAGAGAGUUGGAGCUCUAAUUAAUUAAGUGAGCAUAUGAGGAGCCGUAUGCACUAAUUCAGAUCAAGUUGUGGUCCGUACGGGUGGUGAGAGAGAAGCCAAUUUUGGAGUCUCUUAUACGGCUCGUCUUUCGGCGUUUCGGAUCUAAUUAAGUUUUGAGAGAUUUUCUUGUACUCCGUCUUUCGAUAUUAAUAAAUUAUUUGCUCCGUCUUCGCUUGUGGACGUAGGCCGGUGGCCGAACCACGUAAAAAUUAUUGAAUUUUAUUGGGUUUUAUUAGAUUUUUUGUGAUUUAAAACUUGGUAAAGCCUCUUGAGAGCUCAAUAAUUAUUAAUGAGCUGCUUGGGAGCCCAACUAAAAUUUUUAUGUUUGAUGUUUAUUCCUACAUUGAAAGCCAAAAGGGUGUUUGUGCUUUUUAUAUAUUUCUUUAUUCUCAAGCUAGUUGUUUGGAACAAAGUGAGAGUAAUGCUCCUGUUUAAAUACACGCACGCACGGCACGAGCACGAGCCGGGCGACGGCGCGCAGUCCAUACACUCAGUUUAUUUUAUUUUUAUUUUUAUUUUUUUCGGUUUUAUCUUUAUUUUAAUCCUUAUCUUUAUCAUAAUCCUAAUGUUUAUCCGUAUAAUCGUAGGCUUAUCUUGUUCUAUACGGAUUUAACGCGUUAGAGUAAGAUUCUCGCCUUGAUUAUAAAUAUUCGGCGAGGUUGCAUGAGUUGAAGAAGAACCCGAGCAUACUUAAACCCUCUCGUCUUUUCCUGCUUACUCGCUAUUCAUCUUGUCCACCGAUUUUUGCCGAGUUUUUUUUUGCUGGAUCUGAAUCUUGCACCUCCUUGAAAGCGUGCCGACAGGAUGGAAUGUGGUCGUUGUACCGCUAGAACUAAUUGCUGGAAAGCCUCGCAUGUGGAGGGGCAAUUUCGCUUCUAGAAUAAUGCUCUGCACUCCUCGCUUCUAGGACAGGUGAUUCUUACUCAUGGUUCGUCCUCGUUCACGAUCUGUAAGAGAGCGGAACGUUUUGAGUCUAAUAUCCUUAUACCUUGAGAUGGAGUUAUUACAGAAUUAGAAUUAGAAUUAGAUCGGGACUUGUAUAUUAUAUAUUUAUAUAUAACUUGAUGUAAAGAUGUUAAAUCACGUCCAUUCAUCAAGAACAUAUCCAGAUACAUUCUGACCGUUAAAUCUAUCGUAUUUUUAUAAAUCGGUUUGAAUAGAACGACUCUAUCGUUAUAGAUCACUUUGAAUAAAUUAUAUGGGCCACAUCCAACAAUACUCUCACCAAAAGUUUUAAAAAUAGCCCGUAUGGUCACUGAUUUCACACAAUUAAUAAACGCUAUAAUUUUUUCUGAGUAGAUCAACGCAACAAUAAUAUUAUUCACAAAACUUCGUGCACUUAUGCAAACGGCAGUAAGAUGUACGUGCGUCUCGAAAGGUUUGUACAUAUGUAUAACACUUGCUUACUUUAUACUUAAUCAGUCCUGUGAUUCACAUGAACUGAAAAGAAGCACAAAAGGACGAGAGAAAGAAAAAGAAGGCAGAAAAAGAAGGCAGUAUGUUGUGUUGAAUUAAUUUAGGUGGUCUCGAGGGGCUUGGAACCGAGCUGCUCGGCGGCUGGCUUGGAAGCCGGCAUGGACAUGGACCGAAGCAGCCGUGCCGACGAACUCGAACGGUGGAGGCGGCACCGGAAAGAGCCCCUGUGUUUCGUCGGCGAGCACAGGCACCGCCUGGCAUGUGUCGUUUGCGAUGACACCGUCGCCGCCUUUGACUCGGCCGCUAGUUCCUUCUUGCUCCCUUCGCCCGCGGGAGAGCUCAUCGCCGAAGUCUAGUCGAUCUACACGCGCUCUCCCACUUUCUUAUCUCUGUGUAGUGCGUGUGGUCUGCUUUAUCAGUGUGUGCUCUACUUUAUUCGCCACAAAGGAAUUGAAUUAUAUUUGUUAGAAAAAUUAAUUGCAUCAAAAUCGAUCAUCAAUCAGGAUUUAAUUGUAUGGAUGCUCCCUAUGCUAUCCCGUUAAGUCAAGUUGGUCCCUUUUACUUUUUAUUUACGUCAUUUAAUUUCUAAUUGAAAAAUAAACUAUUUUUUAUAAAUGAUCAUUUUUUUAAUAUAAAUGCCUUUUUUUCGUUUAAUCUAUUCUAGCAUGAAGGAGUUGAAACCUAAUUCAUAGCAAAAAUUCAAGAUUUAAUGAGUAAUGCUUCUAUACUUUUUUUUUUCGUUACCGUUCAUUCACUCCCAUUCAACAGUUCAGAUUUAAUUUUCUUAAAAUUGUGACCUGCAAUAGCAGGUCACUUUGGGAGAAUUACCAGUAACUAGGUAUCUAAAAAAAAGAUAUUUUUGUCUUUUAAUACAUGAGCAAUUUAGUCAUUUUAUCUCUACUAUAUUAUCAACAUUUUUAUUCUCUUUUUGUUUCUUUUUUUCUCUCUCUAUCUUUCCUCUCAUAUUUUGACAUUUCAUAUAAGAAAAGUUUCAAAUUAUUUGACAACAAGGACAUAAGAUUAUUUUGUGGAUCAACUAUGAAUUUUGUCUAUACCCAUCUUGAAUCCGACCCGAAUCAUAUAUAAAGUUUAAUAUUAUAUUCGAAUUUAUAUUUUAAAAAUUUAAAUUUAAUAUAAAAUAUUUUGAAAUAUGGUAAAGAGAAAUAAUUGUUUUGUGUUCCGGUCUUCGGGUUUGGGUUUGGGUUUGGUUUUAGGUUUCGAAAAAUUGAUCAGUUUCGGGUUUAGAUAUAAAUUUUUGAAAUUCGUCGAGUUCGGAAAUAGGUUUUACAAUUGUUAGUCGGGUUCGAAUUCAAAUUCCUAAUCAUUUUUUUUUUCUAAACAGUAAUCCUAAAUUAAUAUCUAAAGUAAAACAAUUCUAAAUUUUUUUAAAUAAUGAUACAAAAUUAAUGUCUAAAGUAGAACAAUUCUAAAUUUUUUUAACAUAUUAAAUACAUUUAAUUUAUAAUUUUUUACCUACAUUCAAUUUUUUUUAAAUAAGUGAUACAAAAUUAAUGUCUAAACUAUAGGAAUUUAAAAUUUUCUUAAACAUAUUAAGUAUGUUGAAUUAAAAUAUUUAUCAACAUUACAAAUUUUUUAAAUAGUAAUACAAAAUUCCUCUAACUUAAAUUUCAAUUUUUUAAUUUUAAAUAUUUAAUAUUUAAUAUUUAAAUUCAAUGUAUUUAGAAAUAGAACUAUUUCUAAAAUUCCUAUAAUUUAAAUUAAUGCCUAAAUUUUAGAAACACUAAAAUUUCUAAAGUAAAUGCGUAAAUUAAUGCCUAAUUAAUGCCUAAAUUAGGGUAAUCAAUCAAUUUUCUAAAUUAGUGUAAAUUAAUGCAUAAAUUUAAAAUAUCAAUUAAAAGUUUCUUUAAAUGUUCUAUAGUUUAAUUACCAAAAUAAUCUCGAAUGAUAUAACCCUUUUACCAGCUAAAUGUUAAAAUUAUAUCUUUACUCUCUAUUAAUCAACGGUUAAGACCUAUUUUAUUUUUUUAAUAAUAAAGUACCGAAUCAUUUCUCUUCAUAAUUUUGAAUAACUAAAGUAUUCACUUAUCAAAAUUUAAGGUCACCUUUGAUAUCAUGUUUACUUUUUAUAUUUUAAAAACUAACUCUAUAUAAUUAAUUUGAUGUAGCGAAUUUUUUUUUUUUAUAUUGUUAUAUUUAAUUAGCUUAUAAUGUAUUCAACUAAGGGUCCAUUAAGUGAAGUGAUGGAACUCAACUUCUAUCACUUCCGUUAUUUAAUUUUGUGUAAGUCAAAAAUAUAAUGUAACUCAAGUUAUAUUAGAUCUUCACUUCACCUACUCUCAACUCUCUCUUCUAAAGUGCCGAACUCGACUUCCGCCAUAUUCAACCUCUUCUAAAAAAUUUAUUAAAUAGUAAACAUAAACUCUACUUCCUUUAUAAUUGAUUAGAAUUACCUUAUUUAUAAUAAAUUAGGAUUAUCUUUAAAUAAUAAUAAAAAAUUUAAUUAUAUAAUAGGUUAAAGUUUAUAGCAGUAAAUUUACUGCUAUAUUUAGGAGAUAACAGGAUUCACUUACUUACAUCAAAAUAAACAACGGAACUUAAAAAACUAAUUUUAUCAGCACCAAGUUAUAUCAAAAUAAAUAGAAGAAGUAAUUGAAUUUAACUUUCAGACUGUACGAGUUAUGUCAAAAUAAACAGCAAAAAAAUAAUCACACUUCAGAAAAACUCAAACACCACUGCACUUGACUUACGUUGAAUCUACAGAUUCAUCAAUCCAGACGCCCCCUAAGUGCUAGAUGAUAUUUAAUUUAAAAAAAUAUUGGAAGCAAAAAAAAUUAUUGCCAAAUCUUUAUUUUUUUUGCUAUCAAGUAAAUAAUGCUGGUGAAAUGGUUGCAAAUAUUCACUAUUCAUUUCUAUUUUGUUUAAUAUGCAAAAUUUUAUUAAAAAAUAAAAAUAAACAUAAUACCAAAUGUGACCUUAAAGUGUAUAAGAUUAGAAUGUAUAGGGACCAACUUGUAAAACGGGAACAGUUUGGAGCCUGUCUAUAUUUAUUCACGGUGAACAGUCUUUUUACUGGUUUUGUGAGGACUCGAUUGUUUAGGGAUACUCACUUGCUGAACGUAGGGGUGGAAACAAGCCGAGCUCGAGCGAGCCUAUCUCAGCUUAAGCUUGACUUGAAAUUAAUUUCGAGCCUAAAUUUAGACUCAAUCUAGGCUUGAAAUUAAUUUGAGCCAAGCUCGAGCGAGCCUAACUUCGAGUCGAGCGAGCCUAACUUCGAAUUGAGCGAGCUGGAGCUCCAAACGAGCUGCUUGAAAUUCUUAACAUCGUGCAAUCUAUAGUUUAAUUUUUAUAAAACAUUAUCUAAAAUUCGAUACAAAAAAUGUUUAAUAGCUCAACAUACAAAAUGAAUGCAUGAAAUACAAUAUUAUAAGAUUAAAAAAAUUAGGAAAAGCGAUUCUAUGAGCGAAUGAAAAAGAGAGAGAGAGAGAGAGAGCAAUUAGAGUAUGAUUUUGCUGGUUUGAUUUUGUGAGCCCAAUAAUCUAAAUUCUAUAUACAUAUAACUAAAAUACAUAAUAUAUAUUAUUUUAUGUAAUUAAAAUAUAUAUUAUAUAUAAUUAUAUAUAGAGAGAGUUCAGCUACUAUAGUCCUAUUAGUAUAGACUCAUUUAUACUCAUAAGUUUUCGAUCGUUAGAUCUAUACUUUUGACCAUUUCUAUCUGUUUAUCAUACUAUUCAACCAAUCACCCACUCAAUCCUAGGGGACCACUAUCAUCCUAAUUGCACAUCCAACGGCCAAAAAUUUAUAAGUAUAAAAGGGUCUAUACUCAAAAAAGUAUAAUAGCCCUAGCCUCUAUAUAUAUAGAAUUAGAUAACUAUACUAUUAAUAGUACCAACCGCUUGUUAUUAGGUUUUCGGCCCUUAGAUGAAGAGAUGUGUCAUCAGGAUGAUUGUAGCCCCUUUGGGUUGAGGAGGUUGGUAGUUGAAUAGUAUGAUCUAACGGAUGAAAAUGGCCAAAAAGGUAGAUCUAACGACAGAAAACUCAAUAGCACCAAACGCUUGGUACUAUUGAUAGUAUAAUAGCCGGACUCUAUAUAUAUAGAUAGAUCCAACGGCAGAAAACUCGAUAGCACAAAAUGAUUGGUACUAUAGAUAGUAUAAUAGUCGGACUAUAUACAUAUAGAGAGAGAGUCCGGCUACUAUAUUAUCGAUAGUACCAAAUACUUAGUACUGUCGAAUUUUGUGCCGUUAGAUCUACCUCUUUAACCAUUUUCACCCGAUAGAUCAAACUAUUCAACUAACCACCCACUCAACUAUAGGGAAUCACUAUUAUCCUAACCGCAUAUCCCUUCAUCCAGGGCCGAAAACCUAAUAGCAUCUGGUUAGUACUAUUAAUAGUAUAGUAAACUAUAUAUAUAUAUAUAUAUAUUUCGAGCUUUCGAGCCUAAUUCGAGCAAGCCCGAUAAUACUCAAGCUUGGCUUGAAAUUAAUUCCGAGCCUAAAUUUAUGCUCAAGCUCAACUUGAAAUUAAUUCGAGCCGAGCUCGAGCGAGCCGAAUAUCGAGCCGAACGCAAGCCGAACACGAGCCAGCUCGCUCAUUUGCCAGCCCUAGCUGAACGUGCUUGCGGUUAGAAGGUUCGACAAAUGAACCAAGACUCGUUGGCUCAAAAUUUAUGAUUAAGGUUCCGGCCGUCAUAAGGCUCGUUUGGAUUGAACUGGAAUUACAUAAUGUACAGUAGCAACCAGUUCAAUAAAUAAACCGCACGAAAAGAGUGGGUUAAAAUAUAUUUUCUACAGUCCUAUUAAAAAAUAAAAAAUAUUUUUCUAUUUGUUUGGAGCCCUAUCUUCCUUUUACCUAAUAGCAUUAAAUGACGGGCCAAUUUGGUUCGUAUUAUGUAGCAUUAUCUAUUAUCUCCAGAUAACUAGUGAUCUGAUAUAUCAUUAUUCAGAUUACUUAAUGUUAUUUUACUUCAUUUCGUUCAGUACAAUAAUAUAAUAUCAGGUUACUGUAUGUAUAAGAUUAUUUUAUUUGUUCCAUCAUAUACAUUUCAAUAAUUUAGAUAAUAAAGUUUUCACUAUUUCAAAAAUGCGCUUAUUAUAUCUUAUACGGAUUAGAAAUUUGAAUAUAAAUUUUGAAUUAAAAUUUUCGAUCUAAUUUUCGAUCUAAUUUUCGAUCUAAUUUUUGAUCGUUCAAAUUUAGUUUUUUAAUCUAAAAUUUUACUUUCAAAUUUAAUUUUGAAUAAUUUAAAUUUUAAAUUCAAAUUCAUUCAAGUUCUAAAUUUGAAUUCAAAUUAUGAAUUCAUAUUUUAUUUUGAAUUUAGAAUUUUGAGUUCAAAUUUAAAAUUUAAAUUGAAAUUUGGAAUUAAAAUAUAAAAUUUUAGACCAAAUUUCAAUUUAAAUCAAAAUUUUAAACUUAAAGUUACAAUUCAAUCUCAAAUUUAAAUUUGAAAAUUUAAUUCAAAAUUAAAUAUUUUAAGUAAAUGAGAAACAAAAAUUUAAAUUUAUAUCGGAAAUGGCCGGGGAAGGGUAAUUUUAUAAUUUCACAUAAGUUGCAUGAAAAGCAAUAAUACAAGAUAUUCACUCCCCUCCAUAGUAAUAUUUUGAAAGUUAUCUUGUGCUAUUAGUAACACUGCAUUACCAAUUAAAUUACUUGUAGCAUGAAUCAAAUAUAGUAGUAUAAAAUUAGCCCUAAACCAAGCAGUAGUAUCAAAUUAGCCCUAAACCAAGCAGUAGUAUCAAAUUAGUCCUUGCUAUGAGCCGAAUUUCUCAACCCCUGACCCGGUCAAAGAUUUUCCUAAAGAAGCGUGCAGAGAUUAAAUACAGCUUCAAGUAGUGAUCCUCGAAGUUUGCGCCCUCCAACGGAUCACGUGAUUCGGCUGAUGAGGGAUCGGAUCAGCCAAGUUCGAAAACCUUCACUGUAAACUGAAUUCGGCUGAACGAGCCGAAUGAAUGAGCUCAAUCCCGGCAUCCCUUCAUAAUUUCAGGCGAAGCAAUCUUUAUAUUUUAACAGCAACUCCUUCAGUUUCUCCUGUUGUUGAGCCGAAAGUUUGACGCUAACGUUCGUCGGCCGCUUAUCUUCAUCAGACCCCAAAUUUACUUCUAAAAGUGGGUCUUGGGUCUCUAGCUUCUUAUUGCCGACUUUGAUCGGUGACUCUUCCAUAGAUUCCUUCAUAAUUUUAUGAACUUUUGAGCCGUUUUCAUCAUUAGACUCGGCUGCUUUACGAGUUCUAUCAUUUUUACUCAACUCGGCUGUUAUACUUGAUGAUUCAUGAAAUAUUUCCUUAUCGGUCCCCAUGGCCGAUUCCAUGAGCAAGUUAUAUUCGGCCAACUUGGCUGUUUUGAAACACGAUAUUUCAUCGGCCUAGUCAGCCGACUUACUACAAUAGCCGACCUCUCCAGUCGGCUCAUCUGCCGAAACUUUUUUAAAGCUCCAGUUCAUGACUCUUGGCAUUCCAUUUCAGCCAGCUUAGUGGCUCUUCAGCUGCCACCAUUGCUUCCUCAUCUUUCACAAGUAUUAACUGAAUUCCUUCCUCGGUCACCCAUACAAAGGAGAUUUGAUCUGGGUCAGUGUCGGCCCAACCGAUAUGGCUGAUUCCCUCCGAAUUAAUAUCCACCAUCUGAGGCCGCCCCUCGGCCCUAAUUUCUUCCACUUUAUCUCCAAUCCAUUGAAAUAAUUUUCCGUGAAGCAUCGAAGGCACAUAUUCAUUUGCGUAAAUCCAGUCACGCCCAAACAAUAAGUUGUAGUGUCUAUCUGCAUCCACCACAAAAAAGGUUGUAUGCAAGGUUUUAGAUCCUACCGUGAGCUCGGUUGUGAGCAUACCUUUGGCUUGUUGACUACUACCAGUAAAAUCGGUCAUAAUUGUGUUGGUAGGCUUCAAUUCAUUUUCACUUUUACCCAACUUCUUAAAGAAAGAAGAGAGCAUGACAUUGACCAUUGCUCCUCCGUCUACCAUUACUCAGCCUACUGGCUAUCCUUUUAUCAACGCCCUUAUAAACAAGGGCCUCACAAAUCUUGUCUGCAUGAUUGAUGGUUUUUCAAAAACCACCGAAUCGACUAGCUUAACAUUUUUUAACUAAAGUUGAGCCACCGUGAGCUCCUCUCCAUCAUAUGUUGUUUCUUCGUAUUCGACAGACUCCACCUUGAAUGACUGAGACAAAGUAUACACCAUAUUCACAUCGGCUGGACCUUUAUCAAGCAAUUUUUCUUAUAUCUUUUGUUUCUUUUCUUCUGAUUCCUUUGCCGUCUUGGCUAAGGAAUGACUCUCCAUGCAUGUCUCUCUCUCUCCUUAGGAGGCCAUCUGUCUCGUUUGAUUAUGAUCUCCAAAGAGCCUAUUUUUUCCUCCAACUCCUUCCAAGUUGCUUUCUUUUCCAGCCCAGCCGGGAGUGGCCGUUCUAUUUUGGAUCUCAACCAAAGGACAGAUGUCGAACCACCUGCAUCAUUAUCAUUCUUCAUGGGCCUAAAGGGAAGUUGUUGCUCAUGAGUUCACCUCCACACAUUCAGUUUCAUCCCUUUAGCCUCCUCAUAAUGUUGUCUCGCUUCGGCUUGCAACCUUUGCUGCCGAUGUUUCUGAGUUUUUGUCAAUAUCGGCCCAUGCCAUUUGGCCGAUACUUUUGCUUUGUGCCAUUGAUCGACUAGCACAUUUGACGGUACUUUUACUGUCCUGAGAUGAUCUCUCAGGAUUUCUCUUCUCUCACAUGGCCUCGGCCAAGGCUGAAUGCCAAGUUCAUUGACUAACCUCCGAUCGAGGAACUCGAUGUCGCCCUCAGUCAUUCCUUCGAAUUCAGGUUCAGGUCUCGGCCUAGCUAGAUGUUGCCAGUUUGGCCGAUAUCCUGGGAAUCUUUGUUGAAAGCCGAAUGGUUCGAAGGAUAACUCCAUCUGCUAUUACGCUCUUCCCUUCAGCUGUUAUAGUAAUCUUUUUAGGCCUUUUGUAUUAAUAGUUCUCUCUUGUCUUUCACUGAAUCAAUUUUCUGUUCGGAAUCGUUUGAGGCUUCUUCCAAAUCUUCCUCCAAUUUGUUCUCCGCCUCGGGAAAUGUCUUCCCACUCUUCGAGGAAUGUCAUGAACUCUCUCCAUUCCCUAUACAGUUUCUUCUCAUGAAUAAUCGCUUUCGAAUCUUUUCUUGUCAUUUCGGCCUUACAUCUUAUGCAUAGCCGUAACGUCCUUUUGGUAUAAGCAAUACCAUCAUCCAUCUUCUUGUCCGCAGGAGCCUUCCCCUUGAUAUCUACCAUAUUGACCUGCGAAGGAAAAGGAUUUUUGUCAAUUUUCAUAUUUUUGUUCUCUUAGUCGGCAAAUUUGAGCCGAUCGACCUUCAUUUAUCUCCUUUUGAAUAUGCCUUUUAAAGGCAGUACAAUCAUUUGUUCUAUGGUUCUAUGAAUGGUGUCAUUUACAAUAUCUUCUCCUUUUCAACUCUUAUCCAGAAGGUAUCGUUUGGCCCUCUUAGAGUUGAAUUCGUCCAUUCUUUAACAAGCAAUCAAAAAUUAAAUCAGUUUUUGACACAUCAAAUGAAUAAGUGUAUGCCGCUACUCGUGCUUUUGCUUCACUAGAUUUUGUGGGUUUAAGUAAAGCACAUUUAUAUGGCUGGCGAUUUUUUACUAUCUCAGCAGCAUAUAUUUCGGCUACAUCAGCCAAAUCCUCUAUUUCAUCCGACAUAUUCAGCUCAUCUUGAGCCGAAGAUUCUUCAACAAAGGAAAUAUUUUUCUCCUUCCCCUUAUUCUAAUCUUUGUUUCGGCUCCACCUAAGCCGAUCUUCAUUAUUCUCUUUUCUAAAUUGCUCAUAUUGAGCAACUCGAACUCCCAAAUUGAAUAGAUUUGAAAAAUACUUGUCUUCAAAAUGGUCCUUGAUUUUGAAAUAUAGACCAUUGAAUGCCAUUUUAGCAAAUUCUGACUCUGGCAUUCUCACAAAGCAACAGCUUCUUACCGUUUUGAAUCGAUUCAAAUGUUUUUCAACCGAUUCUCCAGAUCUCUGUCGAAACUAAGCUAGAUCAACCACCGAAAGUUUCGGUUCUGAUCUAUAAAACUGCUCAUGAAAUUUUCUCUCCAGUUCGUCCCAAUCUCGGACGGAAUUGGCUGGCAAACUCGUGUACCAAGUAAAUGCAGUUUUGAUUAAUGAAGUAUUAAAUAAUCUAAGUUUUAGAAAAGAAUUCGCAGCGUUCCGCAUCGAUAUUUGUAGGGUAAGGGGAUCUAAACAGAGGCAGCAUUGUCGGUCUUGCCCCAACUCUGAAUGUAUUCCAAAUAGCUUCCUCUAUUUGAGCAUAAAGCUCAUUGUUAUUCCCUUGUAUGAGGAUAGGAGCUUGCACUUGAACCAGGUUUGGUCCUUGAGGAAAUCCAUGACUCUAUACUACAGGGUUCACUCCCUGCGUAGCAUUAGGGGCUCGUCCCCCAGCUCUAAUCCCCGUAUUUUGGAGCUGAUAUGUCACCAAUGGCGGCGGAGGAGAUAAUCCCUAUGUUAUUUCUGAUUGUUGACCGACAGUUAAAGCAGCCGGUCUAUAAGCCGCUUGAAAAGGUGCCCCCUGAUGCUGAGGCUGAACAUUUACCGGUGUUACAGGAUUUUGUAAUACCGGUGUAGCUACAGGUCCUUGCAAACCCGCUGUAGGUUGCUCAAUUCGGAUUAAUAAUUGCCCAAUUCAGGCAAUAUUCUCAUUAGAGGCUGUAAUUGCGGCCAGUACUGCAUCUAGGCAAGCAGUACUUCGGUGACUAUUUUGGUCCAAAACUUGUAGGACGCAUGUCAUCUGUCCGAGCGCUUGAGCCAAACUUGGCUCUUGCUGGUCUGAUUGACCACUAGCGUCACCUUCGAUUGGCAAGAUCGCUUGGCGCUCUAUUGCAUUAUCUGAGUUAUUGGCUUGGUCGUUCCCAGAAUUUCGAGGAACGACUCUGUUACGCAAAUUCAUGGUAUUAUUAUCAGCCAUUGUUCCCGUAAGGAAAUAAAUUUACCUAAAUGUGUCCCACUGGGCGUGCCAAAAAUUGCUAUGAGCCGAAUUCCUCGGUCAAAGGUUUUCCUAGAGAAACGUACAGGGAUUAAAUACGGCUUCAAGUAGUGACCCUCGAAGUUUGCGCCUCCGACGGAUCAAACAAUUCGGUUGAUGAGGAAUCGGAUCAGCCGAGUUCGAAAACCUUCACUGUAGACUGGGUUUGGCUGAACGAGCCGAAUGAAUGAGAUGCAUAGUGGUUGGGUCGGUUGAAGAACCGAAUACCUUUGUAUAUUGAUAUUAGAUCUGGAAACUUAUACAAAAUAGAAUGUGUCUCUGGGGCAUACAAACUCCGAAAAUCUAACUCUAAGGCUACUCCUAAGAAAAGCAGUAAAUGCGAGAAAGCAAAAGAUUACAAGUAGACUACUCCUAGAAAUGCGAGGAAAAUGCAGAAAGAAUAAAAGGUGGUCUUCUAUUCACAGGAAAAAGACUCCUCCUUUAGGCGUUACUUGCUUAUUUAUAUUCCACUAUUAUUGUUCAGUUAUUACUCACGAUCGGCCACUUCCCUAUUUUUGUGGGCCAUGCCACUACGAGCUGAUCCUUACUACUCAUAACCGUUUGCAAUUACACCCUGCGGUUAUGCUAUUAUUCCUUUAUUACUCCCGGUGCACCAAAAAUUCAUUUAAUCCCGACUUCUGAGAGUCCCGGCUGAACCGUGCUCCAACAUGCCACAUGGCGUUUUAUUAUUGGCCUUAACAACCCUAAACCUAAUUUUCAUGCUGUGUCAAAUUGGAAUCUAAUGAGCCUAACAACUUUGAUAAGUCUUGCACGUAAGCAGUUAACAAUAAAUAACCUUUUACAAGUUUAAAUUUAAAUGUAAUUGAUUAAUAACUGAAAAACCAAAUCUAGUAGCUCUUGAGGAAAUAUUAUAGGCGAGUCAAGAUAGGUGAUUUAUUUAUGGUGAUAUGAAGAUCAGUUUUCAUAAUACAGAGUAACAUGAUAUUAAUAAAUUAAAUAGCAAAUGAAACUCUCCCGAAGGACGCCGAACAAUUUAACCCUAUUUCAUUGAAAAAAAAAAAAGGUUUUAUUUAGUAUUCUUUUUUUUAAAAUUUGUCUACAGACCCUCGAAUCGUAGAAUUCUUCCACCUAAUAUAUCGAAUUUUCUUCUAACAGUGAAAACUGAAGACUCAAGCACCUUUUUGCCAACCAAGAAAUUGAACCAUAACCUUUUAGACUUAAUUUGGAAUUGCAUUUUCAGAAAAUACAUAUUUUUAUGUUUUAAAAAGCUUACAAAUUUUAAAUAGAUAUUUUUUCUCCAUGGCAAUAUCAAAUUAAACCUCAGAGGGCAUAUAUCUUGGGUAGUCUAGUGGCUGUUAGUGCAACUUGACGUCGUCCACUAAUGAUUAAUCGGUCGGCAAGUGAAAACACGAGAAUAUAUAUAUAUAUCUUGUGGAUUUUAUGAUCAUCGAUUCAAUCCAACGCCUUCAGUUUUCACAAGAAAUGCGUGGCAGCACUGCGCCCGGAGGUGAUAAUUUGGGAUGAGAUUGUGAGCAGACUUAUAUAUAUGGUGGAGGGAGAUUCCAAUUUUCAAAGCGAAAAAAAGAAAAGUGCCGCUUUGAUUUAAUUAGAUAGAAUAAACAAAUGAUUGAUUUAUUAUGGCCGAGGUCUUCUAGCCAUGCCAUGCCAGUAGUCGUCAUCUGAUUCCCACCCGCUUUUGUUCUUGCUCAUUCGAUCCCUCACUCUCUCUUUCGGAAUAAACUCUAUUUAUAUUUAUAUAUGCAUGGUUGUGGUUAAGUGCGGGAUUCUUUUCAGACGCCACUCGAUGUAUGCUGGGUGUACGCGCGUCCGCUCCACCGUCUCUGCAAUUAAUUAAAUUAAAAUUAGAUCACCCAUGCAGUCCAUCUCAUCGAUCUCCAAGUAGGGAAGUACAACUUCGGAAUGAGAGAUUUUCCUUCUCCGAGUACCCUUCUUUUGACUGCUAGCUGUACAGAAUUAAUUAAAUUGUAUUAUAUUUGUUGCUAGAAUAUCAUUAAACUAUUGCAAUUAGAGCUUUGGAAAAGACAAUUUAAUUUUACAGCACUAGUUAAUGCCGCUUAACAGCUCAAAAUAAUUUGAUAAUAGUGAUACGAAAUAGGAUUAGUUACACCGUUAAUCACUAAUAAACGUCUAAUGAUAUUUCGCUCUGAUCACUGAACUUUAAUUUAUUUCAAUUAAAUUAUUGCAUUUUAAUUUGUAUUUUAAUGAGAUCAGUUUGUUAAUAUUUCUAUAAACUUUUAAGUAAAUGACAAAGUAGUCGCUAAUAUAGUUAUCACACCAUUUCUAAACUUGAUUUUUAUUACCAAAUUAUCCUUUUAAAUAAACUAACCAUCAAAUCAUAAAUAAUAAUAAAUUAAUCCUUAAAACUAAAGCCGUCCAAAAUACUCGAUAUCCCAUACCCGACCCGGACCUAUCCGGAUCCGAAUCGGACCCAAUAAAAAAUGAAUAGUAUAUAUAUGGGUAAUAAAAAAAAAUUAUCCAUUAAAGUUUCAGGUAUGAGUCCGGAUACUUUAUUCCUAUAUCCGACUUGGACUUGACCCGAACCUGACCUUUUAAUCGGUAGGGUCCGGAAGAGUUUUUAAAUUCGGACCCGGACCCGGACCCAGACCCGGACCGGGUGAAGCAUCCGAUAGUAAAUAAAAAAAAUUUAAAGUUGAUGGAUUAAUUUCAAUAUGACUUACAGUUGAAGGGCCUGUGUAUUUACAUCCAAGUGAAAACGCUAGUUUCCCUGUUUACUCUUUUUUUUUACUCCUCAUUUUUUUAACCCUAGCUGUUUACUAUUUGAAUUUUUCUUUUGAACGAGUUUUAUUGGACGAUACAACUAAUUAGAACGCGAGUUUCUAUAGUUAGAGAUUUAUGAUUUGUCCAUAAACUGUUUAAUAAAGUGUAUAAAAAAUAUGGUUAAUUGCAUACACGUCCUUGCAAAUAUGGUGAAUUGCAAAUAUAUCCCUACAAAGCUCAACUUUCAUAAUUUGUCCCCGCAAAAGUCCUAAUGUAUUUAGAUAUGUCCCUCUGGCUAGGACCCGUUAGAGAAUUGUUAAUUUUUUAACAGUAUGCUGGUGAAAUGACAUUUUUGCCCUCACAAAUAUGUCCCUCCAAAAGUACUCCCUCUUCCUCUUUCUCUUCCUCUUCGGGCCGUGGGAGUGGACGGCGGUGGCGGCGGAUCAUCGACGACGACGACAAAGAAGAAGGAGGAGGAGAAGAGGAGAAUACGAAGAAGAAGAAGGAGGAGACGGUGGAGGCCGGAGGAGCUCGGAGGCGAGGGGGUUCGCGGCGAGGUUGCAGAGGUCGCCGACGGUGGAGGAGAGGCGAGAGGCGGCUGCGGCGACGACGCAACACCGAGCUCGGAAGCAUCGCGCGGCGAUGGCGGUGGAAGAUACUUCGGAGAGGAGGUGGCGGAGGUCGGCGUCGACGGCGCUUCGGCGAGGUCGGGGUCGGGUUUGCCGGCGACGAAGAAGAGGGAAGAGGAAGAGGGAGAGGAAGAAGAAGGGAGAAAAGGAAGAGAGAGAAGAAGAGAAAGAGGAAGAGGGAGAGGGUUCGCCGCCGCAUCUCCUCCCUCCCUGGCGACGAAGAAGAAGGAAAAGGAAGAGGGAGAGGAAGAAGAAGGAUGUAAAAUUGUCAUUCACUUAUUAAUUAACCAUGGUUAAGUAUUUUAACUGUGGUUAACGAAAUUUCUCUAACGGAAAUUAACGGCAGGGACAUAUCUGAAUACAUUAGGACUUUUGCAGGGACGAAUUAUGACAGUUGAGCUUUGUAGGGAUGUAUCUGCAAUUCACCAUGUUUGCAGGGAUGUGUAUGCAAUUAACGCUAAAAAAUAUAUGCAUAUGGGUAUCCGUACCCAAUCUAGAUCCGACCUAUAUCCAAUCUAUACCUGGUCUUAAGUCGGUAGUAUACGGAUAGUCACUACAUAGACUUGCUCAAAUAGACCCGAUGGGUAUAUUAUUAUCUUAAGAACACAGACCCGGACCCAAUCCGAAGUUAAAUGGUUAUGGUAUAUAUAUAUAUAUAUAUAUAUAUAUAGGCUAGGGCUACUAUACUCUUAUGAGUAUAAAGCACUUCGUACUCAUAAAUUGUCUUCAACGAUGAAGCUUCCGGAUCGACGAUCCACUCCGUUAAAUAUGAUCUAAACUAUUUGAAACUUGUAGAAAAUAAAUUUCGUAAUUUUUCGAAAUCAUAAUAAAGUUCAUCAAGCGGGUAUAAAAUGAACGGUCAAAAUUGAACGAUGUCUUAAAAAUGGAUGAUCAAAUCCUUCAAUUUAAGAUCAGAGUUAUUGAUCUUUAUCUAUGUAGUGAAUAGAAUUUUCUAUCAAAAAUUCAACUGAUUUCGAUUCUUUUACACCGUUAAACUAGCAAAUAUUCCAUACCGACCGCUAAAAAUUGCCGAUUUGGUGACCUUUGAUCGUAAGGUAAAUGAUGUCGAAAAAUUAUAAAAUUUGAUUAUUAGACGUUUUAAAUGCUCUAGAUAACGUUUAACGGUGUGGAUCGUCGAUUCGGAAGCUCUAUCAUCGAAAUCAACUUAUGAGUACGAGGGUGAUCGUAUUCAUAAGAGUAUAGUAGCCGGACUAUAUAUAUAUAUAUAGAGAGAGAGAGAGAGAGAGAGAGAGAGAGAGAGAGAGGAGCUAGGCUGGUAUACUAUCGGUAGCACGGAGGCCUCUGUGCUACCAAGUUGUUUUCAAUGAUGUGGCUUCCAAAUCUACGAUCUGCUCCGUUAGACUUAAUGUAGACUAUUGAAAGUAUUUGGAAACUAAAUUUCAUAAUUUUUCGGCAUCAUUUACCUAUCGAACGAGUAGUCUAAAAAUGAACGGCUGAAAAUAAAAAUCUCAUAAAAAAUAAUGAUAAAAGACUUAAAUUUAAGAUCAGAUGUACUGAUCUUACUCUAAAUAGUGAAAAAAAAUUCUAUAAAAAUUUCAUUAGAUUUGGAUUGUUUUACAUCGUUAAAUUUACAAACGCACCACAUCUACCAUUAAAAUUGUCAAUUUUGAAACCUUCUGAUCACUAAACACAUGGAUGGUCAGCCAAGAAGUCAGCUAUUGCUUGCCCUUUCACCACCUUUGCCAGAACGUAAUUAAAAGGAAAUUCAGACAACGCUAACAUCCAUCUUCCAAUUCUUUCUCUUAACACCAAUUUAAAUAACAUAUACUUGAUCAAAUUGGUUUUGCAAACAACUAACACUUCGACUGGCAGAAUAUAAUAUCUCAACUUAGUACAGGCAUAAUAUAAUGCGAAGUAUAAUUUUUCUAUUGCCGAAUAUCGUUGUUCGGCAUCUAACAAACGUCGACUGAGAUAACAAAUACCUGUUCUUCUUUCUAACCAUUUUCUUAAGCUAACAAGCAUCCCAGAUUUUCAUCCACAGCCGAUUAUAACUUCAUUAGCUGACCCAAUUGAGAAGGAAUGAGAACUGGAGGAUUAGCCAAAUACUUUUUGAUGUUUUCAAAUGCUUCUUGUUGUUCCUCCAUCCAUAUAAACUCCUCUUGGUUUUUAAGCCGAAGUAACGGAGUAAACACCCCUAUUCUACCGGCUAAAUUUAAUAUUAAGCGUCGUAAAUAGUUCAUUUUUUCUAAAAGGCUUUGCAAUUUUUUUAUGUUCUUAGGCGGCGGCAACUCUAUAUAUGAUUGCCUUUGCCUUGUUUUUAUCUAUUUUGAUUCCUCUUUGAUGUACUAGAAAUCCGAGAAAAUUUCCUGCUAAAACUCCAAAAGCGCACUUCAGCGGAUUCAUUUUUAAAUUAUAUAUUUUCAUACGCUUAAAAGCAAGUUCUAAAUCAACCCAACGAUCGCUUGGCGAUGUAAACCUCCAACAUUUUACCGAUCAAAUCAUGAAAAAUAAAAUUCAUUGCCUCUGAUAAGUGGCUCCAGCAUUUUUUAAACAAAAUGGCAUCACUAUCCAUUUGAAAUUUUCAAUAGAUCCUGGGCAUCUAAAAGCCGUUUUUGAUACAUCUUCUCUGACAAUAAAAAUUUGAUUAUAACAAACAUGACCAUCCAUAAAUGAUAGAAUUUUAUAGCCGGCUGCCGAGUCCGCUAGUAUGUCAGUUAUGGGCAUCGGAUAUUCAUCUUUAGGCGUAGCCAAAUUCAAAUUUCUAAACUCAAUGCAAACUCUAAGUUUGCCAUUCUUUUAUCGCCCUGGUACAAUAUUAGAUACCCAAUCAACAAAAUGGAUUGCUCUAAUAAGCCCAACCUUUAAAAGAUUUUAAAUUUUUUUUAAAUUUGAAAUACAAUACUCGGUUCAAACCUAUGAACCAGCUGUUUGUAAGGCUUAUAUCUCUUUUUAAUAGGGAGCCAAUGUUCUAUAAUUUCUCAACUCAACGCAGACAUUUCCUCAUAACUCUAAGCGAAGCAGUCCUUAUAUUUCAUCAGCAACUUUAUUAGCUCCUCUUGUUGUUGAGCCGAAAGAUGUGAGCUAAUAUACGUUGGCCUUUUAUCUUCGUCCGACCGUAAAUUCACCUCCUUUAGUGGAUCCUGAGUUUCCAGCUUUUUCUCGCCGAUCUUGAUCGGCGAUUCUUCUAUAUGUUCUGUUUUGACCCCUUCAGGAAUUUCAGUGCAAGUCUGAUCAGGCUUUAACACAGCCUUUAUCUCUUGAGCCGUAUCCUUUUUUCUAGAUCGGCUCUAGAACUUAGAGUUUCAUCAUGUAAUUCUUUGUUGGCCACCUUAGCCGAUUCAAUGCAUGAUCUUUCCUUGGCCGAUUUUGCCGAUCUCAUUACUGAUUUCGCAUAGAACUUUUCAUCGGCGAAUUCAGCCGAUCUAAUACAUGAUUUUUUAUCGGCCAACUCAACCGAUUUGAUAAAGUAGCCGACUUCUUUGGUCGGCUUAUCUUGCCGAAGCUCGGCUAGAGUCUCAGUCCCAAGCUUUUAAUAUUCUAUUNAUAUAUAUAUAUAUAUAUAUAUAUAUAUAUAUUAGCUAUUGGUGGAACGUGGAGAGGAUUGGUUUCGUCGUAAGUCGGCGACCAAAUCGGAUGAAACAAAAAUUGUAGAUUCGAUGCCCCAGUCGUGCUGAACGCGCUGGCACGAUCCGAUUGAAAAUCCGACGGACGGAUCUCCGAAAAUCGCAUAAAGUUCGCUGAGGGGUCGAAAUUGGCAAAACAAAAAAAUUGCCAAAAGCCCUAUAUUUUAUGUACCGUUUUACGUGAUUUCAAAUGUCGAGGUGCGUAAGUGCGAAAUGCUCGAGCUGUGAGGGACUUGGCUAGAAAUAUGCGGCUGGGGAGGACUAAAUUGCAUUUUUGCCAACCUAUAUAAGAGCUAAUGUUAGGGUUUCCAUGCAAACCCUAACCCUAGUUGCCAUAGCUCCCUCCAGCUGCGCCCUAGCCGUCACCAGCACCCCCUGCCCUUGCCACGCCGACGAUGAGAGACUCCGGCCGCCGGAAAAAGGCCGACAUUGCCUCUCCUCCACCACACUCUCCACCAAGCUACUGUCACAUGGCCGUGGACCUCAGGGUUAACCAUACACAUUGGAUCCCUCUUCACUGGCCGCAACCCGGCCUUCGGCGCUGUUCCCGCCGGCCGCUGUCGUUCGCGCGCGCAGCUGGCCAAUCUGCAGUUUGGCUCAGCCAGCUCAGGCCAAGCUUAGCUCAGAUCGUGGCCCGCGAGCCACCAGCGCCCUAGACCGGCUGUGCCACCUUCCUGGAUCUCUAGCGACCUCCCUCAUGCUGCCCCGUGGCCUCGGAGCUCCACCGGCCGCCGCCCUAGCUCCCUGCGGCCGCCCAGACUCAGCCCGGGCCGAGGCUUGGCCGCAUAGCCUCCUGCUCGCCGCCGCCGCUGCCCACGAUCGGCUGUGCCGUCCUCCCUCGGCCUCUGACGACCGGUCGCCGUUGCCCCGGAGCUCCCCCGGCUGCCGUUUGGCCGCUGCUACCUCCCUGAACCGAGCGGAGUUGUGCGGGCUCGCGGCUCUCCACCACGUCACCGGCCACCUCCCGCCGUUGGCCAGCGAGAGCCCNGGGCCGAGCUUGAGUCAGCUCAUAGCCGCGAGCUGCUACCGCUUCGGGGUUGGCCGCGCCGCCCUUCCUCGGCCUCCGAAAACCCCUCGUCGUCGUCUCUGCGGGCCCCCGGCAGCCGCCGUGUCUUUCUGCAGCCACCCGGUGUAGGUACGGGCCGAGCUUGGGUCCGCGUCGUCUCCGCGCGCCGCCGCCGCCACCCACCAUCAGCCACGCCGCCCUUCCUCGGUCUCCGGCGACUGGCCGCCAUCGCCUCGGAGCGCCCUCGGCCACCACCAAGCCGCCGCUGCCUCCCUAAAUCGAGCCAAGCCAUACGGGCUUGUCCCGGUCCACCGCGCCACCGGUCGCCUCCCACCGCCGGCCAGCGCAUGCCCGGGCCUCCUCCCACCGGCCGCAACCAUCCUGCGCCGAUGCGCCCGCCGUCCAACUGCCGCCGGCCUUCCUGUGCUCCCACUGGUACCGGUAAGUGCAGUUUAUGAAUUCUGCACACUGUUUCGAGUUCGGAUCGCUGUUCCGGCAAUCCGAGGACACCCCGACGCUCCUGGAAGUGAGCACGACAAUCCCUGGUCUGUGCCGAUCAUCAUGCUCACCUCCUUUGGGGUCAGCGAAGCCCCGAUUUGCAUGCUAAGCACUGUUUAGGCACUGUGUGCGCUAUUCACUGAAGUUCGCGUCGCUCCCGCCCUCUCCACAGUGGUCGGCCAUGCUUCGAAGUGUGAGCACGGCCUCCGACACAUCGAGACCUGUCAGCAGGUGUCUCGGCCAGGCUCGAAUGUCCUCAGUUUGCACUGUCGAGCAGUAAAACCCCAAAAAUCACAUAACAUGAUGUGAUUUUAGGUAGUCUCAGGGGCUUAUAUGCAAUUUUACAUUUCAUGGCUGCUAUGGGCAGUGUGUGCAGGCAGCGGGUGACCUCUGGACUGGUUGUCCAAGUUUCUAGGCCUUUUCGAAAAUCGAAUGUUGAUUUCUGGUGCGUUUUUCGGCGAAAUCUGCCGACAGAACACGAUUCCGUUCAGAAUCAUUCCGACGGUGCCUCACGAAAAAUUAUAUGGUCGCUGUGCCUUGUUGGCUGGUCACCCGCGUCGUUUUGAGGGUUCAAAAACGACGGGUAAGCGACGUUGGGUUCCGGUGUCGAAAUUGACACUUCCGGGAACCCGGAUCGGAACGAUUAUCUGACGAUAAUCGUUUCAAUGUGAGGAUAUGUGUUUGCUACCAGGUCACACAAAUUAUUGUGUUUAGUGGCAGUGGGUGACUCGUGGCAUGAGUCGAUGAGUUCCGGGACGGUUCGUGGGUCCCAGUGGAGUCCCGAUGCGAUUUUCAAGACUUCCGGCAAGUUACGGCAAUCGGUUUUAGAAAAUCGAUUCCCGUGGGGAUUACUGGUGGGGAUUGUGAGAGUUAGUGGUUCAUAUUCGUGGAUUGGGUUCUAACCCGGUGGACCCUUCGUAGGUCCGGUUGAUAUUUCUUCCGUAGUUGGGAGAUCAGUGCUGCGUACGUACAGGUGGGUACUUCGAUCCGAAAUCAAUACAGUGGUGCACGCUCGAUGACAUCCUUUCCACCCUUCUCCUACUAUCAUGUUGCAUUCUAUUUGUUGAGCCUUGCACCUUUAUUUCCUAUUUAUCGCUCUACUUGGUUUAUUUACAUAUCUAGCAUCAUAAGUAGAAGUAGAGCAGGUUUAUCAUUACAGAUGAGAUUUGUGAACUAGUUGGUCGGUUCUUGUAUCUCAUACUUUGACCUGUUCGGUCGGUUCAUUGCAUCUAGCAUUAUGACCUACUUGGUCGAUUGGACUACUUGGUGACCUAUACGGUCGGUAUACCCUGAGGGGUAGGAUUGUCGGCUAGUUGCCGAUGGUUGGCUAUUGAGCAUAUCAGUAUCGAGCGCCACUACUCAUUCGUAUUUCACGAACACUAGCGGUCUGAUCCACCGCGGCCAAGUGUUCUUUUCCGAAAAAGUGGUUGGACAUGCCAACCCGUGAGCCCAGCGGCCUAGGCUGGGUUAUAUGCAGGUAGAGUGAUAGUGCCACAGGCCUGAGGCCUAAGGACCGAUAUGGCAGGUUUCAGAUUGGAUAUUUUUUGACUUAUCGUUCGAUUGAUGCAUACAUACAAUAGCGAUAGUUAUUCAUAUAUACAUCUCGAUCUUUUAUUUAUCGCUGCUACUGUAUUACUUUUACCCAUACUUUUGUUUAUCCUCCUUGACUGGUGAGUACCCUCGCCCUCGUCGGCUUGCAGUACCCACCGGGAGGGGAGACAUGUAUACAUGUUCUCACCCCCCACCCCCCUUUCAGGUGACGUCACGGGUCCGAGUCGGGAAGAUUCGUGAGGUGUGCAGCUUAGCAUUCGAUAGAUCCAUCAUGUAGUAUCCUUGUUUUAUUUAUUAAUUAAUUAAUGUACUUAAUUAUUUUAUGUCGGUUGGUGCAUGCAAAUUAAGGUGGCUUGGAUGCCACGUGCACCCAUGCAUGCUUAUCAACAAAUUAGGUGGGCAUUGCCUAAUUUGUUUACUUCUCUCUUUGUUCGACCGAAGCAAAGAGCUCGGUGGAGGUAGCCGCGAGCACGAGUUCGACGCCAACGACGCGCCGCGAAGCCGUUCGAGGGUACGGUUGGGAUCGUAGCGCUGCGAGGAAGCUAGGCGAGGGUGUGUUUUCGCCGUUCUCGACGCCGCGUCAAUGUCCGAUUAGCCUUUGAGGUGAGUGUUCCGUUGCAUUGCUUCAAGUAUUAUUAUUUCGAGCUUGGUGCUGAUUUGCAGAAUUUCCAGCGUCGACCGUCGGUAUUUCAGUUCGUACUCGGCGUAGGAGCGUCGGGUUUCGACGGGACUUGGUUCGUUGGAUUUGGGACUUCGAGAGGAAUCCACGAAGCCCUUACUUGCUGGAUUUGGUAAAGGUUUGCUAGGUCGGAAUUUCGCUCCUCUCUGUUGCUGUUUUUGGAGGCAGAAUUAAUGUUUAUUGUCGGAUUCUCCGUGUAGAGUUUAGCGGGAGCUUGACUUCGGGGCCUUUGGAGGUUUUCGGACGUUUCGGCAAGUUGUUCCGCAGCCGAGGGGAGUUCCGUGCUGCCAGGGAUUAGCGAUCGAGGUGGGUUACAUCGGUUUAUUCCUAAGUAUUAUAGUAGUCGACAUGUAUGAUUUCCUGUUUUUGUAAAUCAUGUGGUAGCUCAAUUUCGUCGAUUGUAUAAUGAAUGAAAUUAGCUUGAGGGCAUGACUUGUAACUAUAAAUAUACAUGUUGGACUUAGAAUUAAACUUAGGAGAAAACCAACGUUCGGGACCUGGCAUAUGUUAAACUACCUGAUUUAGCCUAGGGGCCGUUGUAUUAUUUUAUACUGUUGCAGUAUCCUCAUAGUGAGUAUUCCAGGUAGUUUAGUUUUUAGUUACGCUCGUGCUGGGAUGCCGAGUGUAUUUUUACAGUAGCGUUCAGGCUGUUCCGGACUGUUGGGUGUCGUCGGAGUUGACGGUGGACUCGUAUCGCCUUUUUGGCGUUAGAUUGUGCCCCGAGGGCACGUUACCUGUUGGUUGUUAGACCAGUUAGAGUAGGUUACUUGACUUAGCCUGUGAGAGCAGUAUGAACUUGACAGAGAUACUUGUAAACUCGUUGGGUCGCGCCCACGAAUGCCAUUCCGGAAUGAGGUUUCAGUGCGAUGAGUGUCGCAGUUUCUGUUGGACAGUUCUUGAGCCGGCUACCCUCGGGGUGGUGUACGGCGCAGCUAGAUACAGGCAGGGUGGGUCCGUUUUGGGCAGCCCGGAUAAGAUAGUGAGUGACGCUUUUCCCUACCUUUGGUGAGGUUGUGACGUGAGUGGAGUCUUAGCCGUCCUAUUGGACCUUUUCUGGAACCGACUACUCUUGUGAUAUGGUGUAGUCUAAUUAGGCGAGACGGGUGUAUUCACAGUCUUCAGAGAGUUUUCUCCGCCGGUUACUCUUGAGAUACGGUGUAGUCUAGUAGACGAGACGGGUGUAUUCACAGUCUCUAGAGAGUCUUCUCCGCCGGUUACUCUCGAGCUACGGUGUCACCUAAUUAGACGGGAUGGGUGUAUUCACAGUCCCUAGAGAGUUUUCUCCACCAGCUACUUUUGGAGUAGGUUACGGGUUCGAUCCGACAGGCGAGACGGGUGUGUUCAUAGUCCCUAGUGAGAUUGAGUUAGUUGUGACUUUUACUACAGUUGGUUAGUGUAGAUCAUGCUAGUGUAGCGAUAUGUAGCGGUAGAUUUCUUUCCAGCUUUUCCUGCUAGCCUUGUUACCUUCUGUAGACUUAGUGGGUGGACCGAUGAUUGUUGAGGGCGGCACCCACUGAGGACUACUUGUUUCUACAGUAGUUCUCACGCCCAGUUGUUACUCCGUUUUUACAGAGUCUUCGUAUUCGGCUGCUGCUGUUGUUGGUCAGGAGCUAGGCAAGGGCAUCACGAGUUAGAGCCCUACCCGAGGAGCAGAGCUAGAGGCACCCCUACUGCAGGUAGAUGUUUUGGUUUGGGUUCAUGUACAUACAGACUUUUAACUCGCCAACGCGAGUAGCUUUGUACUCUGGGAUUCAGUGUAUGUAUAUGGAACUCGAUUUUUUUUACUUUACUAGUUCUUCUAGCAGCUCUAUACUACUGUUUGUAGUAUUGUAUAUUUUACAGGUACAGCUGUCACUUCGUAUACAGGAGAAAUUCCUUUGCAUACGGCGGAUUUGUCGGCGUGCCCGGGGAACGUGUAAUCCGGGGCGUGACACAUCAGCCCGUUACUUUGGUUAAAUUCUCAAACUCAUCUUUUAAAUAAUUAACUUAGACUUAUUGGUUCAUGAUUUCCCUUAUUUGAAUAAUUGAGAUUUUGUGAAUGUAAUAAAGGACUUACAGUUUUCUUUUGAGAUGAAAACUGUUUUCUACCCUUCGUUGUAGCAUGUUUUACAAGAAAAGGUUUUCGUGUGGAAAACAAUUUUUAAAAGGUUUUCUUCUUGGUUUUCAGGACUUAGUAUUUCAAAAUGAGUUUCCGGAUAGAAAAUAUUUUUAAACUAAUAGAUGUGGAUAUGUGAUUAUCUGUGAUGAAAUGAAUGUGAAUGGUGAAUGUAUGUAUAUGCUCAUAUGAUUGUGGUUGUAUAUUGUACUUGUGCGACGCCGUGCAAAUACAGGAAAGACUCUGUUCGUGUCAACAGCGGACUUCCUGUAUUUGUGGCGGAUCUGACAUACUCUGGGGUCAGGUGUUUCAAAAAAAAAAAAAAAAUUGGGUGCUUUUGCAUUGAUCGCAUUGAUUUUUAAGUCAAAUCGGGACCCCGGGGCGUGACAACUCCCUCCUCAGUAACCUAUACGAAUGAAAUAUGAUCCGGGUCAAUGUCGGCCCAGUUGAUCAUAUGGCCAAUUUCUUCUACAUUAAUAUCCACCAUCUAGACCGUCCCUUGGCCCUAAUUUCUUCCAUGCGAUCUCCGACACAUUGGAAAAGCUUCCCAUGCAAGGUGGACAGUACACAUUCGUUUGUGUGAAUCCAAUCAUGCGUAAGCAACAGAUUAUAGUGACUAUCUGCAUCCACUACGAAAAAAGCUGUUCGAAAGGUCUUGGAUCCUACGUCGUGAGCACACCCCUCGCCUGUUGACCGUUCCCAGUGAAAUAGGUCAUGGUUGUAUUAGUGGGCUUGAGUUCAUCCUCACUCUUGCCCAAUUGCUUGAAAAAUGAUGUAGGCAUGACAUUGACCAUUGCGCUACCAGUGACCAUAACUCGGCCUACAGGCCGUCCUUCUAUCAUGACCCUUAUGAAUAAAGGCCUGACAAAUCUUGUCUGCAAGGCCGAUGGCUUUUCGAAAAUCACCGUAUUGGCCGCUUUCGCAUCUUCAAGCUGAAGUUGAGCCACUGUAAGCUCUUUCCCAUUGUAAUCGGUUCUUCCAAUUCUAUAGAUUCUGCCUUGAAUGAGUGUGGUAGAGCAUAUACCAUGCUUAUAUCAGCCGAACUUUCUUCGGCCGAUUUUUCCUACACUUUUUGUUUCUUAUCUUCUGAUUCUUUGCUGCCUCGGCCAAAGAAUCACUUUCCGACCGAACCUCCCUCUCCUUGGGAGGUCACCUGUCUCGCUUGAUGAUCGUCUCUAACGAGGCGAUCUUCUCCUCCAAAGCCUUCCGAGUAACUUUCUUUGUCGGUUUACUCGGUGUCAACUGUUCAAUCUUGGAUUUCAACCAUGGUACAGGCCUAGAACCGCCCGCUUCAUAAUCAUUUUUCAUAGGCCGAAAAGACGGCUGUAACUCAAGCCAAUUCCAGACAUUCGGCCUCAUCCCCUUUGCUUCCCAAUGAUAUCUUGCUUGGCUUGCAUUCUUUGCUGUCGGCGAUUUUGAGUCUUCGUCAGCAUCGGCCCAUGCCAUUUGGUCGGUGCUUUUGCAGUGUACGUACCACUGAUCAAUUGGCACAUUGGCAGGCACCUUGAUGGUCAUGAGAUGUUCUCUCAUAAUUUCUCUUCUCUCCCACGGUCUCGGCCAAGGUUGAAUGCCGAGUUCGUUGACUAAUUUUCGACCGAGGAAUUCAAUGUCAUCCUCGGUCAUCCCCUCAAACUCAGGCUCAGGUCUCAGCCUAGCCUGAUGAUGCCAGUUAGGCCAAUAUCCCGGUUACAUUUGUUGUGCGCCGAAGGGCUUCUCAGGGUAGCUUCUUCUGCUCAUUCUUUCUUCAGUUUGACAAUUAUAGUAAUCAUCUAGGACCUUUUGUAUCACCACGUCUUUCUUAUCCUUUCUAGACUCCACUUUUUAUUUGGAGUCAUUCGAAUCUUCUUCCGAACAGUCGUUCGGAUCAUUUUCUGCUUCAGAAAGAUCUUUCCAUUCUUCAGGGAAUACCAUAAACUCCUUCCAUUCCCCAUACAGUUUCUUCUCUUGUAUAAUCGCCUCCCAGUCACGGCGAGUCAUCUCGGCCUUGCAUCGUAUGCACAGCCGAAGAGAUCUCUUGGUAUUAGCAAUGUCUUGAUCAACUUUUCCCUCAAAUGAUGCUUUCCCUUUGAUGUCCACCAUGUUAACCUAUGAGGGAAAAAGAUUUUGAUCAACUUCUAUAUUUUUAUUUUCUUGGUCAGCAAAUAUGAGCCGACCUUCAUUAAUCUCUUUUUGAAUUUGUCUUUUGAAGGCGAUACAUUCAUUAGUCCUGUGGCUCCACGAGUGAUGCCACUCGCAAUACUUUCUUCUUUUUAAUUCUUCUCCGGAAGGUAUUGUUUGACCUUCCUGAAGCUUAAUUCUGCCAUCCUUUAACAACCGAUCAAAGAUCAUAUCGGUCUUUAAGACGUCAAAAGAAUAAGUAUAUGCAAAAACGGGCGCUUUCGCUUCGCUAGUUCUAGCUGGCUUCAGCAGCGCACAUUUAUAAAGUUAUCAGUUUUUAACCAUUUGCGCUGCAUAUAUUUCAGCCUCAUUAGCCGAAUCUUCAGUUCCACUAGAAGUAUUCGGCUCAUCUUGAGCCGAAAAUUUCUCAACAAAAGAGAUAUUUUUCUUUUUCCUCUUAUUCCAAUCCUUACUUCGGCUCCAUCUUGGCCGAUCCUCAUUAUUGUCUUUCCUGAAUUGCUCAUAUUGAGCAAUCCGGACGCCCAAGUCGAACAGAUUUGGGAAAUACUUAUCUUCAAAAUGAUCUUUAAUUUUGAAGCGCAAACCAUUGAAUGUCAUUUUAGCAAAUUCUGAUUCUGGCAUUCUAACGAAACAACGACUUCUUGCCAUUUUGAAUUGGUUUAAAUAUUCCUCUACCAAUUCCCCCAGCUUUUACCGAUAUUGGGCUAAAUCAGGGACCAAUAAUUCCGGCUCUGAUCUAUAAAAUUGCUCAUGAAACUUUCUCUCCAAUUCAUCCGUCUUGGAUAGAAUUGGCGGGUAAACUAGUAUACUAAGUGAAUGCCGUCUUAGUUAACGACGUGUUGAACAAUCUAAGUUUAAGAAACGGAUCUACGGCGGCCUCUCUAAGGUGGCCUCUCUAUUAUUGGGCCAUAAACCGCGCCACGUGUUCGACCAUGUUUUCGGUCUCAGCGCCCAAAAAUUUGUCGAAUUUUGGCAUUUUUCAAUUUGUUGGGUAAGAAUGUUCUAGAUCUAUGUUCGCAGGAUAAGGAGACCUAUAGCCCCCACUCUGAAAGUAUUUCGAAUGGCUUCUUCAAUCUGAGCGUACAACUCAUUAUUGUUUCCUGGUGCGGGAAUAAGAGCCUGUGCCUGAACUGGGUUCUAUCCUGGAGGCACCCAAUAUUUGUGCCGCAAGAUUCAUACCUUUCAUCACAUUGGGGGCUUGCCCCCUAGGCCUUACCCCUAUAUUCUGGGGCUGGUAAGCCGGUAAUGGCGGUGGAGGAAGUAAACCCCACGCCACUUCCAGCUAUUGACCGGUAUUUGCAUUCGCCAAUCUGUAGGCGGCUUGAAACGGUGUUACCUGAGGCUGCGUAAUCGCCGGUGUAACUGGAUUUUGCAACACCUGCGUGCCCACAGGUCCUGGCAGGCCCGCAGAUGGUUGUUUGUUUCGAGUCAAUAACUGCCCAAUCCGCAUAUGGCUGAAGAGCCGAAAUACUUAUAUAUUGCUCAGAGUUGGUUGAGAAAAGAGAAAUACAGAACCAAAGUAUGCCACUACAGUGCACACUCCCGAAAGGAAAUCUAAUCCUACAAACUACCCCUAGGAAAAGCAGUGAAUGCGAGGAAAAGAGAAAAAUUACAGUUAGACUACUCCUAGAAAGCAAGAGAAAAUGUGUGGAAUUGAAAGUGGUCUUCUCGUUCGCAGAAAAAAAAAGACCCCUCUAUUAGGCGUCCUCUUUUUAUUUAUAGCUCUGCCUGCUGGUUAUUCAGUUAUUUUCCAUUAUCGGCCACGUUCCUAUUUCUGUGGGCUGAGUAACUAGGCCAGGUAACUGAGUCCGUUAUACCCACUCUUCAGUUUUAGACGCAUCUUUUCCCAAUUCCUGUCGCAUCAUAUGUGGUCUAAUAGCUGGCUUCAGGGGUCGCUCUCGUGGUACACUUGGUCUACCACAUGGCGCAAAUUUUGUGGCAUGAACUACAUUGCAGUUUUGGAAUUUUAGCUAGCAGGGAUUUAAUGUACCUAAAUUGAGAGCCAAAAGAACUCUAUCCUGGACCUGCAGCUAAUUAACCUCGGGUUUCCAAGAAUAUUUUUUUGUGAGAUAGGUAGCACGCUACCCGCUUCGUUUAUUUCAUUUAGAAAUAAACUUAGCUAGAAAUGUGAAUCAACUAGGAUUCGAACUUAGGUCUCGGGUACCAACCACCAAGAUUAUUGAGUUACCAUCUGAGGAGAAAAGAGAACCUUUAAAAUUUUUAAUAUAAUAGAACGGACUUUUGUAGUUUAAUUACUUCAUAAACCAGAAUCAUCUACGUUAAAGUUGCACCAUGGGAGAAAUCCACAAAUAGCCAAAUAGAUUGUUAAAGUUGUACCAUGGGUAGCCAAAUAGAUUGUCCUCAUGACAUAAUUUGUCCGCACUGCUCACUACUAUUCUGUACAUACCACGAAAGGGAAAGCUCCAAAACACUCCGGUGUUUUAGAAGAAUCAUAGCCAAUGCAGUCUGCCAUCAAGAAACUGCUUUGUCAAACCAAGCCUCAGAAGCCUGAGAAUAACACACGGAAAUGUGAUUGCAGUUUGUGAUCAAUAAGGGCAUAAUUAUUGAGAGGAUGAUUUGCAUAAGUUUGACUGCAACAAAACAAAAUUAACACUUACUGUCACUUUCCAAAUGUGGAAAAGGUGAAAUUUUACUUUUCUUAGCAGGACUAAUUAAAGAUUUAAGGGAAAUCCUCAUAAAUUAGGAAUGUACAUUUGAUCAUUGUUGCUGUAGAUACAAAAAUCUCAAGGCUGUAACACUGAAGAAGUCCAAAAUUUUAUCCCUAACGAAAUCCAAAAAGAAAAAGUAGGUAGCCUUGGUUCUCUACAAGAUUUGAGAACCCUCCCAAAAUUUCUUCCUCACGAUUAAAACUCUUUCUUCUCCGGAGGAAAGAGCAUCAACUUUUGGCUCCACUUCUGAUGACCAGUCAUCCCAUCUCAAUGCUGCCAACAACCUCUUGAUGUACUCUAUAACAGGAACUUUGUCCCUGAUAAUGGCAAAACCAAGAGGUCGCAGCAUCCGAUCCAUGUCGAUAAGUAGAUCCUCCAAACUACAUCCUUGUUUCUGUAUCUCAGAGAACAAGAGCCAAGCAUGAAGCAAAUCAUAAGUGCGUGGGUAAGUCGAAAACGACUCACACCUGCAUUUAAGAGAAAUAAGAACAAUUUAACAAGCAUCCGAAGUAACUCACACUUGAAUUUAAGCAAAUUAUAAAUAAUUGAACAAGCACUUGCUGCUGUCCAACAAGGAAAACAAAACACAAUUUGGAAUUUGUCCUAUAACAAAAGCCAUUUGUAUAAAAACAAGCAGACGAAAGUUCAGAUGGACCAGGAAGAUAGUAGAACUUUUAUCUCAAGGGAAACCAAAAGUCAAAUCAGGAAACUCGACAAGUUCAAGAAAUAGAUCAGCGCCAUGUUGAAAGGUAUAGGUUGUUUGGUUUGCACGGACCAUGUAAUGACUGCCACCAAAUAAAAGAACAGUUCAAAGGUUAAUUAGGGGUGGCAAGGCUAUUCAUUGUGUGAAACGGAAAAUACAGAAACUUGGAAUUAUCACUGAAUUAUCACUCUUAAGUCUUGAAAUUCAUUAGACAAUGAUAAGGCGAGAAGCUUGUAAAUAUGAGAAUGAUGGGAAAACUUCUAGAGUAGCAGCAUGGUUAUGGAGGGAAUGAAAGACUUCAUUAAGUUUUUACACAAUGUAUGCUUGAAAAGAACGUGAGAAAAGAAAACAGUAAGAAAUCAUUCAGAGAACCUAUUUAACAGUUCACUGCAUCAACUGUGCAUGGUCAAACUCAUUGUUUAUAUUCUUAUACAAGAACAUAGGCCCGAUGCAGUACCGUUACUCGAUCCCGGUAUCGGUACUCACCAACAGAUACCGGUACUCAACACAAAGAUGCACAAACCCGAGAGCUCCCCUUCGUGUAAUCCCUCUAGUGUACCGGUACACCUCUCAGGUACCGGAACACAACACUCAAAAUCCUGCUUCUACAGAUUUUAGUGUUCGAACUCCAACUCGCACAGCUCUGAGUCCGUUUUUGCGCCUAUUUCAUGCCAAAACGCUUCUAACUCGUCCCGACACUCUACAGAUGUAUCGACAAGUCACUGAUGCUGCAGUCAGUCCAACAGCUAAACUCCAGAGACGCUAUAUUCUCCCCCACUACAAAAAGUUUCGUCCUCGAAGCAUAAAGUCAUACCGACAUAAGAGAAUAUGAUAACUUAAGAGAAUAUGGUAACUCCUACCAGUGUCAGCUCAUGAUAGUGCAGAAAUCACUAUCUGUGAGAUCUCCUACCAGAAGAUCAACUAGUAAAGAGUCUUAAUGGCUAAUAUAAUAUUAUUAUGAUUAUCAGAAUUUUAGAAGAAAGCAAAACCAUAAAAAGUUAGGCUGCAAGAUAAAAACAUAACUUGAAAAAAAAAAUGAAAUUUAUUUGGCGGAUCAUGACAUGGAUCUUACAUAUCAGAAUUAGUUGAUGGUCCAAAAUUUAAGCAAUCUGUUGAUUUUUAUAUUCCUUCAACAUUUCCGAAAAUAUUCGAUGAUAUUGAUUUUAGAGAGUCAUAGGCCUGCUAUCUCAGUCCAAUUGUUAUUGUAAAGAUUUAUGUUCAGCCUCAAUAAUGAGAGCAUGAGUAGUUUCACUGCGGCUUAAUCAUUACACACAUACACCAUCAAUAAGGAAUUGUGUAAUGAACCAACAGAGUUACAUGGAGCUGAAAGUUAGGAACAUACCAGUCAUGAACAGUUCCUAUUAAACCUCUGUCAUAGAUUAUCUUCAGUUUCCCAGAUUCAACAGCAGGAACGACAUUCAUCACCCAGACAUCUUUAUUUGUGAGUGAUGCUGCAAAACCCCCAACGUUUGCCCUCAUAUCCAUAACAUUUCUAAACAAAUCCUUUUCUAUCUCAGAUUCCAUUUGCUUCCAAUACUGUGUCACCCUAUAGUGCCAAAUCUCCUGAUUUAGCCAAUAAGUACAUGAUUUCAGGCUUGGAAUUUGAUAACAAAUGAUUGCAUGAAGGAAACUACGACAAAAGAAUUAUAACUAUACCACAUUUCACUCACAUGGUCUUCAAAGAACUUCUCAGGACUGGAUCCUAUCUCUUCUAAGCGAGGGGGUGGUGCUGUAAGCCUUUGCGGCCAUGGAAGCAGUUCACUGCCUUUUGCCCUAUGAAUUCCUGCUCCAGGGUAUAAAAAAAUAGAAUAUUGUUAGGCCUCACAAACUAUAGCAAGGCAAAGCUGUAAGCCUGUAACCAGCAAAACCUUCUGUUUAAACAAAAUUUCAAGCAGAAAGAAAUGUUAAGCUUCAAAAUAUUUAGGACCUUCCAAUGAAAACUUGGUAAUUUCUAACAACACAAAUGUUCAAGCACUUAGUUCUUUGACACCAUGUGUGAUACCCAAUAGUCUUGCAUCAGAUAAUGUGGGCGAGUGUGAAGGGCUAAUAUGUGACGGAGAUACUAGAAAUAAUAAAUAGGCUCCAGCAUUUUAGGCUAGUGGUUUUGACCCUAUGAGUAAUUACAGCUAAUGGGAUAGGUUGUCACAAUUGGUAUCAGCGCCAGUUCACCAGCCGGAAGUGUGAGAUUAGCCUUUCACAUCGUCUGGUGAUCUUGAGUUACGUCUGUGAUAGGACUGUCAAGUACAUCAAGACCUAAAAUGAGGGGAGUAUUUGACACCCCAACAGUCCCACACAUAGUUACCUAGAAUAGGGUUCGAUGUGGUACAUAGUACUAGGCCAUAAUUUAUCCGGUACCCAAUAUGAAGGGGGUAGGAUUGUGCGGAUUGCUACUUCGAUACCAAUUGGGGUUAGGGUAUUCUACUAAAUUUAAAUUUUAAAGCUCGAAGUUCAAAUAUCCAAAUACUGAAGUCCAAAACAACAAAGCUAACAACACAGACACAAAUAUAUCAGAAUAACAAUCCAAUUCCAACGCAAGUGGAUAAAGAAAAAAAAAACCUAAUUUUUUAUCACUUAUUCAUCUUUCCUUUGCCUUUCCCACUGCUUGCUGCAAAACUUGAAAUACUUGUCUGAUGAAGUCCGAUGCGACAAACUUCUUGCGCCUUUCCAACAACAGAUGACGUCUUUGAAGUCUAACUUCCUUUGACGAAUUUUUUUUUUUAUAAAUAAGCUUACUCAAAACUUCUUUUAUAAAAAUAGUCCUCUAAAUUUUAUUACAAAAAUAGGCCUCAAAUAGGCUAGGUCAGCGCGGAUAUGUAAAAUCUUUAUAUGCGGUGAAUGGUUCACCGCAUUUGUGGGACUCGGGCAAGCCUGGAAAAGUGCGUGAAAAAUUAAGAAUGUAGUAAAUUUGUUACUGCGUUCUCUUAAAGGCGGUGAACAGUUUACCACGUUUAAAGACGGUCAACCGUUCACCGCAUUUAAAGACGGUGAAAGAUUCACCGCCUUAAAAUGCGGUAAACCGUUUACCCCUUUUAUAUGUGGUAAACAAUUCACCGCCUUUAAUUAGAAUACACGAGCCCCGCCCGAACCCUUCUCUCCCCGAACCCUUUCUCUCUGACUCCUCUCCCCGAGCUCCUCUCUGUCCCCCUCACUCCUCUCCCUCACUCCGCCCGAACCCGACGACUCCGACGCCGCCGUCGCUGCAGCCGUCGCCGGCGUCGAAGCCUCUGCUGCUGCUGCCACCGCCAAGGCCGCACGAGCUCCAAGGGGAAAGGGGAUACUAGGUGAGAGCAUUUGAUGGAGGACAGCGUUUUGGGACAAUGACGACAAAUCGGUCGGAGAGUUUAAAUGGAGUGCUUAAAGGUGUACGUGGUUUACCUAUCACGGCAUUUGUGGCCGCUACAUUUUAUAAGGUGACCAAUUAUUUUGUUAAGCAUCGUGAUAAAGGUGAGACAUACUCUACAGUAUUGGUACCAAAACAGGAGGCGCUAAUUAAGAGUUGUAUGAUAAUCGCAAGAAGACAACAUGUGCAUCGCUUCGGAGUAAACGAGUGUCAAAUUACUACCGGAAAUGAACAAUUUGAGGUGGUUCUUGAUGGAAGAAGCUCGACUUGUUCAUGCCAUGAGUUUGAGCUCACUAGGUUGUCAUGCUCACACCUUCUAGCUGUAUGCAGUAAUGGUCAAAUGCACAUUGACUAUUAUAGUCUGUGUUCUGAAUGGUAUACAUGUGAGUAUUACCAUGGUGCUUACUUCCCGCAAUUUCACCCUGUUCCAGACAAAAAAAGCUGGCCACGCCCUCAAGGACCACCGCUGGCACCCCCACCUAUCAGGAGAAAGAAAGGCCGUCCGAGACCAACUCGUAUUCGAAACGCCAUAGACGAGAGAGAAGGAAUGCGAAGAACUAUGUGCACUAUUUGUAAAUAACAAGGACAUUAUAGGACUACAUGUCCAAAUAAUCAAGAUAGAACAAAUGAAGGCCGUAGACGUAGAGCUUUAGGUUGAUGACUUAUGUUUGACUACCUAUAGUAUUUCUUUUUUUAGAUUUAUCUUUUAACGUUCAAAUUAAUAGUCACUAAUUUGUAUACUUUAUUUUGCAGAUGGACGAUCACGAGGAUCCCAGGCCGGUUGAUCCAUCAAUUCUAUCAGACCAGGCUAGGCAUCAUUUGAGAUACGUGCGAUCAGAGGUAUGUUAAGCUAUGCAUAUACAAAGAAGUUUGUAAUUUAAAUACUUAAAUAGAAAAUUUUUAAAAAAGUGAAUAAACUUUAUAGGGGUACGCGCCAGUUCAGUUUACGGAGCAUGGCCGUAAACUGAACACAUGGACAGUCAAGCAUCCGGAAGUGAUAGACCAUACGGCAUGCUAGAUUUUUCUACGUCUCCCGCCUCAGACGAGUACAGCUUGAUCAGGCUCUAUUAGGGGCGUUGAUAGAGUGAUGGAGGCGCGAGACGCAGACAUUCCACCUACGAUACGGAGAGAUGACAGUUACGCUACGUGACGUGGCCGUUACAGCUGGACUACGAGUCUCCGGGAAGCCUAUUACGGGACGUGCUUCAUUUGAUUUGCCGCAUACAUGUAAGCUCCUUAGGAUGAUGUCGUCGACGGCCAGAUCCGCUUGGAGCGGUUGUUUCAACAUUUCCGGCAUGUUACUUUGGAUGCUCCGCCGGCCAUGGUUGCAACAUCUGCACGAGCAUACAUUUUAUUUCAAAUUCGAUGCAGUUUAUUUCCUAACCCCACCGGAUAUCGAGUUCACCUCAAGUGACUACCGCUACUUGAGGAUUUUGACUUUUGCGGAGGCCUAGCUUGGGGCGCAGCUACCUUGGCCCAUCUCUAUCGGGCAUUAGGGAAUGCCUCUAUGAAGGGAAAGGCCGAGUGUUGUGCCUUUGGUACACUACUACAGGUAAAAUCACUAUUUCACUAGUUAUCGCAAUGUUAACUUAGUUUCUUUUACUAAUUUUUUAAUUAACUUUUUUUAUUCUUAGAUCUAGGCAUGGAACCAUAUACACAUUGGACGUUCCGAUCGAGUUGGAGCUCCACCGGAUCUCCAUGAUUGUCCAUUAGGUUGUCGAUAUGCAAUGUAUUUGCAUAUAAUAUAAUAAAAUAAUAAAAUUUGAUAUUGUAUUGAUGUAUUAUAAAAUAAUAAAAUAUAUUAUCACUUCUGCAGGUGGAACACGGGAUUGUGAUUUCGUGGAAAUGUCAGGGUGACUGAACUUGAGUUUUACCGCGAUGAGCUAGAUCAGCAGAGAGUCACAAAUACGUAUAGAUUUCAUGAAUUAAAUACACGCACAUACAUUCUAAAAUUUUACAUUCAUUUUUUUAAUACACUUGUACAGGUUACAUGGAUGCCCUACAUGGAGGAUGUUUUGAACGGUCUUCCUGCAUUUUGUCUCGAGGGCUCUGCAGUCUGGCGUUCGAGAACUUGCUUGAUAUGCUAUCAUAUUAUGGAGCUACAUCUACCUAAUAGAGUCCUGCACCAGUUUGGAUUGCUGCAGCAUACACCGGAGCCCGUUGAAGCUAUAUAGAGGAUCACAUCGCAGGGUAGAUCAGGCGAGGACUGGGCAGCGUUUCAUGCUCCAUAUAUUCAGCGAUGGGCAGAUCGUCAGGAGCAUAUUGCGGAGCAAAGUCCUUUUGUCUAUCCAAAUCCGUUACGAGCAACCUCUGUGUACAUGAAGUGGUAUUGGGGGAUCACGAGGUGGAUUUCUCGUCCUGUACAGCAGCCUCUACUUACUUUUCUGCCGCAUAGGCAUGUCAAGCGAAGAUUGGUAAGAUAAUUUUAUUUUAUAGUUUGUUUUAUUAUAAGGAUAUUCAUUAUAUAUAAUCAUGUAUUUCUUUACAGGUGGAUGCUAUGCGGCAGACUUAUAGCAGCAUUGGUCAUUUGAUGGAUGAUCCUCCGGAGCCAUCUAAAAUGAUUGAUGCUCUAGCACAUGUAGGUAGGACCUCGAGAGUGUGUUAGAGAGCCUUCCGACAUUACCCGUGACAGGGCAUCCGGAUAUUUAUUCUCCGACUUUUGCUGAUUACAGUGAUAUUCCCUCCACCUCCACGCCUGCAUAUGAUUUCGAUGAUAUUCCCUCCACCUCCAUGCCUGCAUAUGAUUUUCCAUCAACAUCCGUCCCGAUUCAUCCAUCUGAUGUCCCUUCGACAUCGGAAGUACAGUUUGAUAUCCCAUUGGCAUCCAUCCCUCUAUUUGAUAUUCCAUCAACGUUAGAGGUAUUCUAUUUUGAUAUUCCAUUCACAUCUAUCCAUCCUUCUGACAUUCCAUCCACAUCGCAGGGUCGUCGCGAUGUUGGAUAUCGACGUAGGCCACGAUGACAGGGUCAUAUUGAGACGCAGGUGGGGAUACUACCAUCGGCUGUUGAGCAAGAGAUGGAGCCGAUUGUCGAGAGCAUCGCCAUCGAGCGUAUUAAUCAGAUGUAUGUCAUUGAGCCCGUGCAGCCUGAGAUAGAACAUGACAUGCAUAUUCGAGGACAGCGUCGAGGAUACGGCCGUGGACGCGGACGUGGACGUGGCAGCGGACGAAGGCGAGAGAAUAGGAGUGGGAUGGAGGGGACUUGAUUUUUUUUUAUCAUUUUUGGGAUUCUCAUGUAUAUUUGAUAUUUCAGAUCUUUUCUACAUUGAUUUUUUAUAGUAUUAUUUAAAUUUAUUCAUAUUGAAGUGUGUUGAUAUUGGUAUAGCUCAUUUUAUAUGCUUAAAGUGUGGUUGAAGUUGGUAUAGAUGAUUUUAUGUAUUUAUUCGUGUAAUUGAAAUGCUUGAAAACAUUAUUAUUUUGUAUAAUGUGGAAAUUUUGCAAACUACUUGCUGCUUGGAGUGGGUAAUGCUAAAUGCGGUGAACCAUUUACCGCAUAUAAAAGCGGUGAAUGUUUCACCGCCUAUAAAAGCGGUGAAUCAGGCGGUGAAACAUUCACCGCGUUCAUAACUAUUAUACCUACGCAGGGAAGGGAAUUACAUAAAGGCGGUGAAUGGUUCACCGCCUUCAUGGGAUUUUUAAAACUUUAUGAAAGCGGUGAACCAUCGUCUUCACUUGAAAGCGCUAAAUGGUUCACCGCUUUUAUCGUCUACCACCAUCUCACUGCUCACGUAGCAGUUUUGAGCCUAUUUUCGUAAAUACAAUUUUCGGAGGUCUAUUUCUAGAAUAAAAAGUUUGGAUGAGAUUAGUUGGCUAAAAUCCCCUCCUUUGACAACUGAUAGCAGCACGUUAUGAUGCUUCAUCUUCUUUUGGAUAGUUGAUUUAGUUCUCAACUUAUUUACCUUCUAAUGAUUUCCACCUCACAUCUGUGAACCUCGCAAUAGAAUCAUCAAUAUAAUUUUCCUCCAGAUCAAAGUCCAGUUUGUUGUAAGGCUCACCCCGGUAACUUUCAGUGAAGAGAGAUAAAAGACGAAGAUUAGAAUGAAUGAAUACUAAUUUAUCUGCUCUUACAGAGAAUAAGUGCUCCAAUUUCGCUUUGCCGAUUAACUUGUCAAUAGAACCUUCAACUUCUGCCAACUCCAGAGUUCUCGAUCCAUAAGUAGCCUACCAAUCUAUUGCAUCCAAUGUCACCACAUUAAUUUGAGCUGCAGCCUUAGAAUAAAUGCCUUUACAUGAAUGGAAAAUAGCAAUUGCUCAUGAAGUAGUUUUGCUUCUCCCUCGUUUUCUGCUAUUUCGCUAAAUGCUUUCAUAAACCCCCAUAAUCACUUCCUUAUCUUCAUCUAGAGCUCUUCUAGUUGUCCCUUCAGGUACUAAUGAUGCCAAGUAUCUCGAAUCACGAAAUCUAGGGGACAAUGCAAAACCAAGGCACUGUGAGGGAAUUGACAUUUUCUCCCACAUUGCAAGUACAUGGUUAUUUUUGUCCAUUACAUCUCUUAUUUCUUCAAGUGUGUUAUUCUCAUAUAUUUUGCCAUCUUUGGGCCAUCAGCAUCAAAAAACUUUAUCAACAAACAAAUUGGUUUUGUAAUAGCCAAUAUAAUCUACCUCAUCCCAAUAUUCUUCACUCCCUAUGGUUUCAGCAUUUAAAGCUCCCAUUUUUCUUGCAUGUUCAUCUCCCUGUUUCACCCAAUCUUUCCGUGUUUUUAGUACGACAUUUGUUGCUAGGGCCUCUCUACAAUCAACCGACCAUUUCAAUAAAAUAUAAUGAGAGGCAAAUCUAGUGUUGGCUACCUUUAAAAGUUCCAAUCUAGAAUCUGAUCAAAAAAUGAUGAGUGCAUGUGCGUGAUUUAAAAAAUACUUUACGAUGCUUUUUCUAGCUCUAUAUGUAUUUUCUAUGAAGCACAAAGACUUCAAAUUUCAUGCUGUACCCAUAUCGAACAAGUAUUGGAUACCGAUACACGCCCGUAACGGGAAUGAAGUAUCCGGCAUUCUUAGAAAAUAGAAAAAAUAUUAGAUACGGCUCGGAUGCGGGAAGGAUACGGGGAGAUACAGCUAGAUUCUUUUUUGGUCUAAAAUGAUCGAAACUUAGAAUUUUUCAAAAUGCCCACAUCCAAACCUAUUAGAAAUAAGGAAAAGAGUGAGAAAAAUGCCUAUCUCUAUUCAAUUUGUCAUUUCUUCUAUCUUUUUGCUUUUGAAUGGUUGAAGGCACUUCCUCUCGUUCCUCCAUACAGUAUUAGUCAUGGUUCGGUCCUUUACCACUUCUCUUUUACUCUCUUUCAUCUAAUUUGUCAACCUAGUAGUAAGCAACAAAGGCUAUAAAAAAUUUUUUUUUUUUUCUUCUAUUGAAUUGUUAGCAUAUUUUCUUUUAUUACUGUUCUAAUAAUAGAACUAGAACUAACAAAACAAAUAUAUAUGUUGAGUGGCUAGUUAUCUAGUUUGUGUGACUAAAUAUCUAUAAUUAUUAUUUGAUCAAGUUGGUUGAUAUUUUCUGUAUUAUUAUUUCAUACGAUUGAUUAUUUUUCUUUAAUGAACAGUUGUAAAAACAAUUAUACAAUUUAAUGUAUAUCAAAAUAUAUUCAUUAAUAUAAUCCAGAUAUCUUGAUUGUUCUCGAUACAUUCAUUAUAUAUACAAUCAACAUAUAUUUAUGUAUAUUUAAACUAACAUUUUACUCAAGUAUACGAGCGUAUCGUAUCCUAGAAGUUUUAGAAAUUAUCGUAUCACCGUAUUCGUGUUAUGUCGUAUCCACAUCCCCUAUCUGUAUCUCCGUAUCCGUAUCUAUGCAACAUAGUGUAUUUCUCAACCACUCAAAUUCUUUUGCGAAAUCUUUAAGAAUAAGAUUUAAAGAAUGAACAACACAAGGGGACCAAAAUACAUGGUUGUGUACCUUUUCUCUCUUUUCUGGUAAGCUUACAAUGUGCAACAUUGUCUAUUAUCACUUGAAGAUUAUGAGGCCCGGCCUCUUCUUUUGAUUUUUUAAUAAAAAUUCUGCAACAGCUAAACCCGUUUUUUCGACUCCAUAAAAACCCUCUGCAUAUAGAAAGUUAGAAACAUAGAUCCAUGACUGUUCACAGUAAGGGCAUUGAUUAGAGAUUGAUUUUUGCAAUUUGUCCACCCAUCAGACACAAUAGAUACUCUUUGCGAAUACCAUGUGUCCUUCAUUGGGAUAAAGUCUUUUUCAAUGCUUCUUUUCCACUUAUCUAAUAAAGUAGUUCCUGUGAUGCAGAAGCAGGUGCAGAUAGGAUUAAUUCGUUUAGAUUUUAAUUUUUUCUAAUUUUCGAAAUUAUUUUCCUUGUUAAUUUGUUUUAGUUGUUUUUAAAGAUUUUUUGCAGAAUUUAUCAUAUGGAAUAAAUCUCUAAAAAUUACCGAUAUAGUUAAGGUUUUUUAGAUAUAUUCAAAUUAGGAAAGAUAACUAAAAUAAUGGAAUUUGAAUUAAAUUAGGAUUAUGCUUUGAAAAUUAUAAAUAUAGCCUAUGCCUUGUAAUUUAGAAAAGUACUACAAUGGAAUAAAAUUUGGGUUUUGUGUUUUGACUGCGGCCAUGGUAUCUCCUUACUUUUCUGUCUUAACCUAUCAUGUGUCCCGGCAAAAUUCUUUUUUCUAAGAAGCUCUAUCUUCUCUUCCUCUUCUUGAUCUUUUCUCUUUUAUCUUUCUUCUAAAUUUGGAUUUUUUCCUAGUAUCGGCUAUUUUCUUCAAAAAAAAAUUACAAAAUUACAAAAUAAAGAAAAUUGUCGGAACCUUCUUGCUAGAGUCAUACUACUUUUUGAUUUUUUUUCUUUUUUUAAAUCCCAAAAAUUGAUUUAAAAAUUCAUUAACUCUUUUAUAUAUUAGAAAAAUCUAAAAAUUAAUCUAAAAUUUUUAAAAAAAAUGAAAAUUUGGGUUUAAAUUGAUUUUGGACUCAUUACUUGCAAGAUAGAUUAGGGUUUUCCUAAUUUGUCCUGCAUCAUCUUGCCUAACGGAAUGAGAGCUUUAUACCCUUUAGGAGCCCUAUUUAUUGUCACAACAGCUUACGAAAUUGACUAUUUACAGUGCAUUGAAUGGUAUUCCAUUAGCACAUAGGCCCUUUAUUACUUUCAAAUGAACCAUAACCCUCUCUGUCAUAUUAAAAGAGUCUUCAAUUUGUUGAGUAGGCGAUGAUUUGUUGUCUUGUUAGUGUGGAAUUCUUCAAUGAUGCCGAAAUUCCUACUUUUUCAGCAUCUUCAGCCUUUUUCCUCACCCUUUCAUAUUUAGCCCUACCGUUCAUCAGAAUUAAACAUCAUGUAGACAUCGAGAAUAUUUUAUUGUAAAUUUCAUAAUAUUGGGAAAGCACUGUACAACUUGAAGUUGUUAAUGGAAUAAAAUCACCACUUUCGUAUCCUAAAUGUGCUGUGGGUCGUGAAAGAGACUUAUGUGCGUGUUCGUGCGCUGAAGUGUCAUCUUGAGGCGAUCAGAGCAAGGGAAUACGACGCAACCCAAGCUAGCUUUCCUUUAAUAAAUAAAUUCAAAUUCAAAUAUCUUGUUAUUUAGAAAUAGACUUAUUUAUGCUAAUAAUGCUACGUUAAGUUAGGCGUGAUUUAAGCAUAUGGGCUCUAUAUAAUUUAAUCCAGGAAACAAAGAAUAAACAAGCAAAAAUUCUCUUUUCUCUUCAUAUCUUAUCUUCUUCUCUCUACUUCUCCUCUCUAUUUCUCUAUUCUCCGAAGACGCGAUCCCUCGAAGUGAUCGAUUCGUUCUUUCGAUACGGUAGAACCGUAUCAUUUGGUAUCAGAGCCUUGACUCAAGCUAAAAAAGAAUUUUGCAAAGGAUGGAUAGGGAGUUUGUACGAAAAGAGGAAAUGAACGCCCAAUUCUCCAAUGUUGAUGCUCGACUGAACAAAUUGGAGACCGAAGUAAGGUUCAUUACCGAUUCUGUUAAUGAUCUCAAAAAUUUAAUUAUCGCUAUGAGCACGAAAAUGGAUGUGCGAUCGCAGGCACCUGUCUGAAGAUACAUCCACUUCAAGUUCCGACAAAAAUCAUCCCCUACUCCCUACCCCUUUCAAAGAAGGGACAUCAAUUCCUUCUACGAAAAACUCUAUGAUGGCGCUAACCCGCAUCACAUGACUCGGGAAGCACCCACAAUUUCAUAGAUCACAAUUUAACAAAGAGAAUGCAAUACCAUAUUGCUGAAGAGAAGCAUUUUGAGGUGAUGGUCGCCAACGAAGAUAGUCGCAAUUGGUGGUAAAUGUUUCAACCUAUUACUCUUGUUACGACAUAUUUAGUAUCUUAUGCUAUGUUAGGAUACUGUAUAUUACAACAUAUUUAUAGAAUUAAAUCGUAUGUAAUCCUAAUUAUAUUGUUAUUAUAGUAGGGAUUGUUACUAUAGUAGACUUAUCUCUUGUACUAUAUAAUUUCAUCAAUAGAACCCAAGAGGGUGUGCUCUUUUGCCCUUCUCUCAUGGUAUCAGAGCCACAAACCCUAAUCCGGGGAUAUUGAUCUAUAACCACCUUCCACCACAAAUCACACCUCUAUAGGUGUUUUUCUUCUUGUUAUUCUUAUUCUUGGUGUGUUGGUGCCGCUCGGCUCAUCUCUGGUGUGUUGCCUUAAUUGGUGCAACUGCCGAUCCCUUCUUGCUGUGUUGGUGCCGCUCGACUCAUCUUUGGUGCCGCUCGACUCAUCUCUGGUGCCGCUCGGUGCAUCCCUGCUGCAGCUGGUUCUCUCUAGUGCCGCUCACUGCAUCGGUGCAUCCCUGCUGCCGCUAGUGUCGCCCGGGUCAUCCUUGGUGUCGCUGGUUUCUUCUUAUCUCGUUGGUGCCGCUUGUCGGUGUCGCCUGGUUGAUCUCAAGUACCGCUCGGUCCUUCUCGAGUUCAACUCUGACUUACUUUUCCUCUUUCCUCUAGAUCUGUGAUUACUCGGUCUAUUUUUCGGAUUUCUCUCUCGUGGUGGAUCUUUUUUUUCCUCUUGGUGGUAACAUGUCUUCCUCUUCAAACCUGCCAGUAGUUAACAUCAAAACUCUCAUAUCACUUAAACUCACGGAUUCCACAUAUUUAGUAUGGAAACAAAUUUUUCUUAAUGUUUUGGAGAGUUUUGGUGUUACUUCGCAUGUGGACGGAACUGGUACUAUACCGUCUCAAACUAUUGAAACAUCUGAUAAGAAAACAAGUGCAAACCAAAAUUAUCAAAAUUGGAAAAAGGAAGACACUUAUACUUUCGUGGAUUAAUGCCACAUUUUCUCUUAGCAUAUUACAGAUGGUCGUUUCUAAUUCUCCUAAAACUGCAUAUGAUACUUGGAAAACUUGAAGCAUAUUUUCUUAAUAAAACUCUUCCACGGCUUUUUCUCUAAAGUUCGAAUCGCAAAGCAUCAAGAAAGGUUCAAUAAACAUAAGCGAUUACAUGCAAAAGAUUAAAUCAAUCGGUGAUGCUCUACAAGCGAUUGGUGAAACUGAGUGAGACCAUAACUUGGUCAUGACAGUUCUUCUCGGGUUACCGGAAGAAUAUAAGGGUUUUGUCAGCGCCCUUAAUACACAUCAACAUAAGCCCACUUUUGAACAACUUCGUCCACAUCUAAUGCAAGAGGAAACUUAAGUUCAACGUCGUACUAGUUGGACGACAUUACCAGCCAAUCCCACUAUCGAUGGUGAAGCUCUUUAUGCAAAUUGUGGACGCAAAAUCCGUGGAGGUCGUGGAGGCAGAUAUCGCGGUGGUCGAGGACAGCGCGAUAGAUUCAACUCAUAUCUUGGUAGUGGAUCUCCUGGAGCCUAUUCGCAUUCUCAACCUAAUAAUUCUCUACAACCCUAUACUGCCACCCAUCAACCUUACAUUUCAAAGUCUGGCACACAAUGUCAGAUCUGCAGCAAGUUUAAUCAUUCGGCUCUUUGGUGCAGACAACGCUUCAAUCAUUCCUUUGUUGUAGAUGAUCCUCAAACCUUUGCUGCUAUAAACAUUCAUGAACCUAGUGAGGAAGUGUGGUAUUCUGACACUGGAGCAUCUAAUCACAUGACCACAACUUCUAGUAUUCUCUUAACCUCUAAACCUUAUAACGAGCAUGAAAAAAUUCUUGUUGGUAAUGAAAAUUUACUUGAUAUUACUCAGACAGGUGAAACUCAGUUGCAUUCCUUCUCUAAAUCCCUUGCUCUUAAAAAUGUUUUUGUUGUUCCUCUAUUAAGAAAAAAUUACUUUCCGUACGCCAGUUUUGUCAUGAUAAUAAUUCCUUUUUGAGUUUGAUUCUUCUAGUUUUUCUGUGAAGGACAAGAAAACCAAGACGAAGCUUCUUCGAUGCCCUAGUUCGGGAACAUCACUCUAUCCAUUCUCUUCUAAAGUUGCGAGUGUCAGAAAUAAGCAACAGCUAUCACUGGUUGCAUCUAGGGUUAAUAGUGAUAUUUGGCAUAGACGAUUAGGUCACCCUAGUUUUUCUGUUCUUUCUACAUUCCUUAAAAAUAAUGAAAUUGUCUCGGAUUCUAUUUUAAAAUUAUCUGUUUGCAAUGCUUGUAAUAUGGGAAAACAUGUCAAACUUUCGUUUAAUGAUUCAGAAUCUCGGUCUGCUUUUCUCUUUCAUAUUGUUCAUUCGGAUGUAUGGCAAUCACCUGUUCCCUCACUCUCUAGCUACAAGUAUUAUGUUAUUUUUAUUGAUGAUUACUUUCGAUUCUCUUGGCUGUAUCUUUUAAAAUCUAAACACGAAGUUUUUGACAAAUUUUUGGAGUUCAAAAGAAUGAUUCAAAACAUAUUCCAUAGCUCGAUAAAAAUUUUUCAGUCCGACAAUGGCACUGAAUUUGUAAAUGAAAAGUUUUCUGCUCUUUGUUCACAAAAUGGCAUUAUUCACAGAUUUUCUUAUCCUUAUACUCCUCAACAAAAUUGUCUUGCUGAGAGAAAGCAUAGGCAUUUAUCUAACAUUGUUAGAAGCCUACUUUUUCAAGCUUGCUUACCUCCUAGGUUCUGGACUGAGGCCAUUCAAACUGCCGUUUUUCUUGUGAAUAGAAUUCCAUCUCUCACUGUUUUAAAAGGAUGAUCGCCAUAUGACAUUCUGCAUGGUUGUGCUUCUUUUGACUUGCAACUUAUUAGAGUUUUUGGAUGUUUAUGUUAUCCCGAUGUACAGGACAUUACAGCUCACAAGCGCGCUCCCGGUCACCUCCUUGUGUCUUCUUGGGACUUUCGAACAAACAUAAAGGAUUUCGCUGUCUAUAUCCAAGCACCGGUAAAGUCUUUAUUUCUCGUCAUGUUACGUUUGUUGAACAUGUUUUUCUUGCUCGUCUUUCUAAAUUUUCUUCCUCCUCGUCCUCUUUUUCCAACUAGCAAAUAUUUCAAAAUUUUCCCUCUAAUCCGCCUUUACUGGGUGAAAGUCCUGCCACUCUUGAUGCGAUUUCUGGCUUCACCUUCACACGUCCUCCUCCUGACUAUGGUUCACACACACCGGUUUCACCGUCUGAGGACUAAUAAUCAAUAUUUCCUUCCAGCUUGCAUUUUGACCCUCCACAAGUUGUUGGUCCUGAGAAUGUUGCCACUGUUGUCGGUCCAUCUGAACUCCGGGCCUAUACCAGACGCCACACCAGUCGGCCUGCUGCUCAUUCUCCAUCCGUUACUGAUGUGCCACCUACCUCCUCUGAUCAUCCACUUUCUCAGCCUGCUACUGUAUCCUCUCCUUCAUCUUCUGUGGCUCCACUCCCUGCCUGAACCCAUUCUAUAUUCACUUGUUCUAUAACCAAGGAUUUCACAGGGUCUACUUCCUUACUCGCUUCUGCCCGUUAUACUCUUUUUACUGAGCCUACCUCUUUUCAUGAGACUUUUCAAGAUGCAGGUUGGCGUGCUGGUAUGGUUGAAGAAUUUGAUGCCAUACUGACUAAUACUACUUGGGAUCUAGUUCCUCCUGCUUCUUCCGUUAAUCUCAUUGGCUGUAAGUGGGUAUAUAAAGUAAAGCAGAAGGAGAAUGGUUCUCUUGAGCGUCUCAAGGCUUAACUUGUUGCUCAGGGUUACAAACAACAACGAGGUAUUGAUUUCGAUGAGACUUUCUCCCGGUUUCAAGGCGAGCACUAUUCGUACUGUUCUCUCCAUGGCUCUUCUCUAGUUGGUCUCUGUAAUAUACCGAAACCCCGGUAGGCUAUAUCGGACUUUAGUCAAAUUGACCAAAGUUUGGUGAGAGAAAUGGUUGGACAAAGUCCAGUUGACACUCCAACAGUGUUGGAGGGGUUAGAGUUAAGUUCCGAAUGCGAUUGAAGGGUUUUAGCAUUGCUCGGCGAGAAAUGGAGCUUGAGCACUGCCCAAACUUCAGUAUGGGCACUGCUUAACCGGUGAAGCACCAGGGCGUACCGGUACCAGGCAGGCCACCCGAGAAGCCAGCUCUCGAGUUUGGCCUCUGUCAAGCUGCUUAACCGGUGACAGUCUGGGUAGUACCAAUACCCCGCAGCAACCCGAGAACAGCAGCUCUCGGGAUUGGGCUAUUGAACAGGGGCGUACCGGUCACGCCCACCCGCGUACCGGUACGCAGUACUGCGAACAGCAGGUUGAGUCUGCUGCAAAUAAAAGAAAAGUGAGGGCUUAAAUGCAAUUGUUGUGGCAUAUAAAAACCCCACAACCUCUCCUCUCUCAUUCACAGCAGUGAGAACACCCUCCUCACUCAUUUUUCUCCCUCUCUCUCUCUAGGAACUCUCUUAGAGGUGGAUCAAGAGGAGAUUUGAAGGUGGAUUUGGUGGAGAAAAAGGCAAAGGAGUGAAGCUAUCUCUUCUUCUUCUUCUUUAGCUCAAGGAAAGGAAAGCUCUUGAGGUAAGCUCCAUGAGCUCUCAUGAUAGAUGUCUAGGGUUUGGUUUAAAUGCCCUAGAAAUGGUUUUAGAUGGAUCUCUAGAUGAUUUUAAGCUUGUUUUUGCUUAUCACCAAGAUCCAUUUGGUGCUUAUGCUAUAGAGCAUUGUUAGGGCACCAAAAUCGAGACUUUUGUCAUAGAUGGGUUUAAAUGUAAAUUGACCUUGUAGAAACCUAAUUGAAGGUAUUUCCAACACGUUGGUGGACUCGGUUCGAAAAUCCGACUAGUCUACACAAAGGGAUUUGAGAAAAAGCCUAUUUUGGCUUCGUUUUACCGCAGGCGAGAGAAUAGGCGGCUAAAAAUCACCAAAAUUGAACCGUAGUACCUUAGCAACCAUACGAGGUGGGUGGUGCUUUCCGAAAUCCUCGAAUUUCCUUUUAUAUCUAAAAUGUUAUUUCUUGAGCAUACAUGUAUAUUGAGCUUCAUGCAUUGUAGGGUGAUUUGAGAGUAUAUUGUUGUAUAUUGUGAGUACAAAUGCAUAUGAGAUGAUUGUAAACUAAUAAGAACUUGUAAAACCCUAUGUAUGCAUGAAUGAUGACAAAAACCUAGUAAAGGCAAAGAAUCUAGUGACAUUGAGAACAAAUGACAUUAUGACAUCAAUAGUAGAGUGGCAUCAAUGAGUUUUGAAUGCUAGUGUUACAAGUGUGGCAUUAAUGAAAACAAUAAAUGCAUAAGAUUGAGUAUAAAGAACAUGUAGUGUGUGUGACACUAAUAAGAGUUAAAGAAUGCAAAAGAUGAGAUAGUUGACAUUAUGACACAACAUGGCAUAACAUCCUUAUAGUUAAGGGUCAAAUGAGCAUUGCAUCCUUAGAGUUAAGGAUUGGAUUGAACUUGGCAUCCUUAUAGUUUAGGAUUGGAUCAUACUCGCCUAUAAAUCUUGGCUCGAGGGUGGUAGCUCCACCUCGAGCGAUGAGCUCCGGAGUAGUCAUCACUGGGAUGGUGUUUUCCCCAGAUAACGGUCCCGUCGGGUUGUAGUAGUCUCCCCAAUAUUAGGGAUUUUGAAUUGGUGAGUUGCUUUGGGCAAAACCUACGGGUUAGCCAAGAGAUUGAGUAAUGGAAAUGUGAUCUUGCAUGCAUCAUGAACAUUCUAUUUGAGCAUUAUUGUUAACUAUAUCUUGUUCAGGCAUAUUAGCUGCAUUUGUAUAGUUUGGUUACUAUCUAUCUGUUUAUUCUUCUAUUAUGCCUGAUUUAGACCUAGUGGAAAAGUCGGCAAGAUCGGCGGUCGAACCCACUGAAAACUUUGUUGUAGUUCUCACCCCACGAUUUUUCACAGAGCCGGGACCGAGUGAGCCGGCCGAUGAUCGCGGUAAAGGUAUCGCGCCAUAAACAGUGACUACCCGAGUCGGGUCCAUAGUUAUUUAGUUGCAUUCCCUAUAUAUCAUCUUUUGUAUUUGAUGAUGUUAGUAUUAUGGAUACGAUAAAUGUUGUAAAGAGAGUUUAUAUUUUGAAAAAUCAUGUGAUGUAAAAGAAAUGAUAGAAAGAAUGUAAAUGUAAAAGUUGAACGCAUGUAUGCGGUUAAAAGUUAAUCAUUAUACUUGUAUGACUGUUUAGUUUAGAAUCUUUCACUUUUGGCUACUGCUUGCCCUCGUGCAAGCCAUGUAUGUAUGUAUGUUUCCGCUUGUGCAAUUUAUAUACUUGAUUUGUACUUGUGUUGAGCCUUAGGCGAACAGGGGAAGUGCUGUCCGUUCGGCGUCUGUUCAACGUGCCCGAACCGACCAAAUGGGCCGGUCCCCGGGCGUGACAGUUUCUUUGACAACUUGAUGUGAAGAAUGCUUUUCUUCAUAGAACUCUCUCCGAAGAAGUUCAUAUGACACAACCACCGGACUUUGUGGACCCCUCUUCCUCACCACGUUUGUCGUCUCCGCAGGCAAUCUAUAGUCUUAAGUAGGCCCCUCGGGCCUGGUUUCAGCUGUUCACUUCAUUUUUUUCCGAAAUUGGUUUUGUCGACAAUACUGCAGAUCCCUCGAUAUUUGUUUCUCAUUCCUCUUCUUUUAUACGUUGCUGAUAUUAUUAUCACCGAUAGCUCCUUUCUUUUGGAGGCCCUCAUUGUCAUCUUACAAUGUGAAUUUGCUAUGACGAAGGAUCUCGAGGCGCUCCAUUAUUUCUUGGGCAUUGAGGUUACUCUGUCUUCUUCUGGUCUUCAUCUAACCCAGCGCAAAUAUGCACAUUAACUAUUUCAGCGCCAUGGCUUUCUUGAUUGCAAGCCUGUUUCUAGUCCUCUCUCCGACAACUCGCCUCUCGUCUCAUGAGGGACGUCUUCUUAACGAUCCCUAUGUCUAUUGUCAGCUUGUUGGUGCUCUCCAGUAUCUCACCUUCACGAGACCGAAUAUUUCGUAUGCUGUCAACUUUGUUGCUCAGUAUUUCCAUACGCCUCGUGAACCACAUAUGCAAGCCGCCAAGUAUAUCUGCGUUAUAUCUGAGGCACACAAUCUUAUGGUCUUCUACUCUCUCGCUAUGUCAAUCCUUCUCUUGUGGCUUUUGCCAAUGCUGAUUGCGCUGGUUGUUUCGAUACACGUUGCUCUACUUCUAGCUAUUGCGUCUUUCUCGAGCCCGAUCUUAUCUCCUGGUCCGCUAAAAAAUAGCCCACCAUUUCUCGCUCCAAUUCUGAAGCGGAGUAUCGUGCUGUGGCGUACACGCUUGCUGAGAAUAACUGUGAUGCCCCAACUUUCCAGAUUCACCAGGCCCAAUCAUAUAGUCCCAGUGUAAGGAAGUGGAAUCUCGAAAUCCGAGAGUCACGCUUCAUUCAGGAUCGACUAUUUGUCGAAUGGAAUGGCCAUGGGAGGGCCAAGGAUGCCUAAAGCACCAAAAGUGCAUUAAGGUUAGAGCCCACGAGAGCAAACAGUGCAAUUCUACACUUGGCAGGAUUUUGCUCUCGGGGACCGGUCCCUGGGGUGAGGGACCAGUUCCCGUACGUGUAACCAGCGAGAAAAAUAAAAAUUUGGCUAAGUCCUGAGAGUUCAGCUCUCGGGGACCGGUCCCUGGAGACCGGUCCCCGUAACUGAGGGUUGCGUGGGAGGCCGAUGCAACCGGUCCCUGGCCAAAGGGAUCGGUUCCCGUAAGCUCCCCAGCCUGGAAGGCUCUCGGGGACCGGUCCCUGGCGUGAGGGACCGGUUCCCGUACGCGUGACCCAGGGAAGGACUCUCGGGGACCGGUCUAUGGUCGGGAUGACCGGUCCCUCUGGGCGAAAAAUGCCCAGUAAGAGGCAGUGCACAGGGACAAAAGGUGAGGGACUUAAGUGGAUAUUGUUACAAUAUGAGGAGCAUGGGACCCCUCCUCUCUCUCAUUCCCUCUCAUUUCCCCCCCUCUCUCUCUCUAGAAAGAAAAGGAGAAGGAGAAGGAAGAAGAAGGAGAAGAAAAGAAGAAGGAAAAGGAAGAAGAAAAAGAAGAAGAUCAAGCUAGAAGAAGCUUUGGACCUCUCCCUCUUCCUCUUUCUCUUUGAAGCUAAAUAAGAGGUAGGCUUCUAACCCUAGUUGUGAAAUUUAGGGUUUUUAGGUUUUAGCUCUUUGGAUGGGAUCAAAUGGAUCCCUAGCACCAUGAAUGGUGGAAUUAGAACUAGAAUCUAGGAUUUUUGAAGUGGGUUUGCAUAGUGCUAACCCUAGGGCACCCAAAUUAGGGCUUUUGGAAAAGUUGAGGAUUGAUCUCAUUUGACCCUCCUAUAACCUAAUUGCUAGGUGUCUAAAUGUAAGGGCGAAGUCGGAUUUUCGAUUCGUCAAGCGGGCGAAAAGAUAUUGGCGAAACAAGGCCAACCAAGCUUCAUUUCGACCUAAGAGGCCGAGAAGUCGUCGUAACGUCCGUUGGAGGGCAUUUCUAGAGCCUCCACAUCCUCAAGAGGUGGGGGGUGUCCAUCCAGAAGCAUUCGGGUUUCCUUUUAUGUCUAAGUUACUUAUGUUGAUCAUAUUGCAUUAUAGAAUUAAUAGAUGUAUAUUUCCUUUUCCUUGCAUGCUUCUUAGUAGUAUAACUUAUAAGUCGAACACAUGGACUAGGGUAGCAUGAGGAUUGGGUCUUGUGACAUGAAAAUCCUGUAAUGGCAUAAAGAGGCGAACUUGGACAUAGCCUAGUAGAGUGGCAUUGAACUAGUAUAGUAGAAACACUAAACAUGAACGAGUGGCAUGUCAACUAGCUAGAAAACUUACUACAAUGAUCGAACGAGUGGCAUCGGGUCUAGAGUAGUAAAUGUGACAUGGUUCUAAGGGUGGUAGAGACCCCGGCAUCUAGGAUGCAUUGUAUAUGGUGCAGCAGAGGCACUCUGACCCUUGUAGAUAGGGUAUCCUCUUAUGAGGAUUGGAUCAUACUCACUAGUCUGUUUUCGCUGUCGGUGGUCGCUCCACCGUGGCACUAGUCUCCGGAGUACUUUACUAAAAGCAGACGUAGUUGUCCCGCAGACGGUCUCGAUGUGCGAGUGCAGCUUCUCCUCACCUAUGAGAAUGAGAGUGAGUCGAGGGUUUAACCUAUGGGUUAGCCAAGUAGAUUGGGUAAUAAACAUGAAUAGCAAGUAGAAUUGCAUCAUUACCUUGAGUAGACAUAGUGUAUGUUGUAGAUUGCAUUGCUAUUCACCCUAUAUACUCUUGACAUCAUAUCAGCAUGAUAGUAGUUAUUGCAUAAGUAAUCUCAUUACUAUUGUUGGAGGCAUGAUAGAGUAGUUGCAGUUUAUUUCUCUAUCUAUCUAUCUAUCUAUUUCUCUAUCUGUGCCUGCUUAGACCUAGUGGAAAAACCAGCGGAGUCGGCGGCCGAACCCACUGGAAACUAUAUUUAUAUAGUCCUCACCCAGUGUGGUUUUGGAAGAUAGGUACACACAGAGGCGAGCCGCGAUCCCUAAGUGAGUAGUUAGUAGCUUUCCUUUUUGCAUAUAGAGUACCCUGGUGUACUAGAAGAUGUAUAUUUUAGAUAGGCAUUGGAAAGCUAUGAUGUAUUUUGGGAAAAUUAUGUAUUUACAUUUUGGAAGAUGAAAAUAUAAUAUAUUCAAAUAAUGUAAAUGUUGAAUGGUUGUGAUAGCUAUAUAUUUCUCUCUUUAUACACUUGUACAUUCACUCGUGGUUCUUGCUCUUAGUUGUAGUGCACUUGUGCGCAUCGUAUUUGAUCAUGUUAUUUAAGCAAUUCCUAGGCGCUUAAUUGUACUUGAUCAGGUUGUUUGGCCUUGGGCGAACAGGGGAGGUCCUGUCCGUUCGGCGUACGUCCGCCGUGCCUGAACCGGACCAAAUUGGUAGGGGUUUCGGGGCGGGGGCGCGACACCCAGAUUCACCAGGCAUUGUGAGAUCCAUCUUACACUUCCGACUGGUUAUCAGGCUCUAAUACCAACUAUGAUACCCAACUUUCCAAGGAGUCACCUAUCCUAGGACUGCUGUAGUCCUAGCACGCUUAACCCUCUUAACCUUUUCGGCCUAGCCACUGCCCAAAAUGCUAUAGCCUGGUUAAGAGGUUUUUAACUCUAUUAUAUCUUAUAUAUAGGACUACCUGGGAUAUUACAUUCUAUAUAACACUCCAAGAGCCCCACAUUGGAUGAUGUAAGAGAGUGUGAUGGGCUUAUAAAUGACGGACACACUAGUAAUAAUAACUGAGCUUAAGCAUUUUGGGCCAGUGGUUUGGAUCCAAUAAGUUAUUAUUGCUAGUGGGAAGCAGGGCUUUACAGUUAGUAUCAGAGCUAAUUACCAGCCAGAAGUGUGAGAUGAGUCUCGGCUGAGCCAGGUUAUACAGCGGGCAGAAUGAGACUUUGGCUGAUGACUGUUGUGGGUGGAGCGCGGCUCCACACAAGGUCAACUAAGGCUAGCGAAACGAGAUACUUAUGAGCGUGUCUGAGCCUGACAAGGACGUCAAGGCUUAAAAAGGUGGGAGAAUGUAAGACACCACCCUAGAUAGUCUAUAUAUAAGAUAUAAUAGGCUAAAAACCUCUUAACCCGGCUAUAGUAUUUUGGGCGGUGGCUAAGACCAAGAGGUUAAGAGGGUUAAGCGUGUUAAGGCUCGAGUAGUCCUAUGAUGAGUGACCUCCGGGAAGUUGGGGCAUCACAAUUUGAGUCGAGAACUUAGCAUAGUUGAUUUAUGUCAUUUAAUGUAAUAAUAGUACAUAAAUAUUGAUCUAUUGCUCCAUAGCUUGGUUUACCUGUGAUUUCUUGACAUAUCCCAUACUUGUCGGCAUAUGUUUAUAUAGUAGGAAAAAAAAUCUCGAAGUUGCAUUUAAUAGAAUCUUUGUGAAUGAUGCAAUUGAGGUACUUUGAUCAUGUGCAUGUGACUAUAGCUUACAAGAGCCAAAUUGAGCUCAACAAGCAUAUUUGCUCAUCGAGGGUCGCGCCCCCACGACUUUUUGCCCCCCUUGGAGGUGUAGCCACACGGUUAUGCUAUUGUUCGAACCGUUUUUUGUUUAGCGUCUAAGUGGGUUCAUGUGCGAUUCUUCGACAUUCCACUUCACACGGCGCAAGCUUGACCAGACUUUGAGUUGGUCAGUGUAAUUGGGUAUCAUCACAAAUGACCAUACCAAGUGAAAAUAGAAAUUGAUGCAUAUAUAAGCUAUGUCGUGCAUAUUGUAGCAUCAUUGAUACUUACAUAGAAAUUUGACACUUAUAUUAACUAAGUUGAACAUAUUAAUAAUGACAUAGUUAUUUUCAUGAAGACUUGAUGUAUAUGACAUUUAGAUAGAUUAUACCCUCGUACACAUUGAACCCUUCAGAGGCAUAAUAAUUGUUUUAUAUUCGAUCACCCGGUGUUUUUGUUAUCAAUGUUAUUUAAUAUCAUCUCCUCUUUACUAUUGUGCCUCGAUAAGUCCUAGCAUGCAGAGCGCCUCUCUCGGCGGUUGUACCUACUAGGAACUAUUUCUAAUAGUUCUUACACCCAUUGUUUUGAAUGUUUUCAUACCCAAAUUUAUAGGGAGAGCUCGAGGACGUGUAAAAGGUAUCUCGAGCUAGAUAGUGCAUUGUUCCUUUUUCCGAUAAAAGGUCCAAGAGGGUAACCCCUUAAUUGAUGCCUAUGAUAUGUACCAUGUGCAAAGAGUAUGUAUGAAAAGUUGAAAUGUAAUGUAUGCAAUGGUAAUAUCUAUGUAUACUUUUGGAAGGAAAGAUAAUGAUGCAGUAUAAUUGUAACGGUUCAAUGUAGUAUAUCAUUUUGGGAUAUGCAAAAUGGUAAUCGACGAGGACUUCAUGUGUUUGUAAUUACUUUACUUUCUUCGAUACUUGUCAACUCAUAUAUCUCCUUUUAUAUUGUGUUGUAUUAAAGUGGAUUGUAUUGGUUGAUCUUUUAUGCUUCGUAUGUACGAGGGUGUCCUUGUACAUACGACUGUCUAUGCACACACCCGAAAAUGCUUCCAUUGUGGCCCGAGGCAUGCGAGCAUCCAAUAUGCAGGUUCAUGUAACGACUGCUAGAACAACUUGCAAAACACAAACACUUCUUACACCUAUCCACCAACCAAUGUAUGACUCCAUUAAUGUUGAUUGUAUCACUUUAAGAUCACUAUGAUUUAUUGAAUUUAUUGAAAUCAUUGAUCUCUCAUCUUUCAAAUAUCAAUAUAAAUGGCCUUUCUCAAAGGUUAUCAUUCACCCUUUCUUCAUCUUCGAAAGGUAUAUUGAUAGAAUGGCUCUACAAAACAAGAGAAAAGAAAUGUUGGCUAAUGAAAAAGGAUUGGAAAAUGAAAGGAUGGAAAGGUGUAGAUCUGAUCCAAUUAGUUACAGCAGACAAUGAACAAGCCUACUCAAUGCUGAUAGACCUAGCAUCAUCUUCAUUUCCAAAUAUCAUGGCUAGUGCGUCUGUAAAAUCAUAAUAUUUUGAUCAUGUCUUAACAGAGGUCUCACCUUUUUAAGAGGAUGAGCUCCAUAUCCUUCUGUUAGUCUAAUUAUUUAUGUAUUUAUGUGAUUAGCGCUAUUGCCAAUUGUACUUAUACAAGAUCUAGUUUAACACAAACCUGUGUUAUAAAGUGUUUUUUGUAAGUGUGUUCACUAUAUAUUCAAGGAAAAACUUCAAAAACCCCCCCUGUGGUUUCGUAGUUUCUCACUUUGCACCCCUGUGGUUUAAAAUGUAUCAAUUUGCCCCCAUGUGGUUUCUUUUUUCUCCUUUUCUUAUCAAUUUCAUUAUUUUUUUUUCUUAAAUCAGUGAUAAAGUGAAUAUUUGAUAAAUCUAGAUGGGUAUCUGAAGUUUUUUGUAUAUAAUUUAAUGAAAUAUUAACAAAAAAGCUACCAAAAAGAUAAAAACGAAACCACGGGGGCAAUUUGAUACAUUUUAAACCACAGGGGGGCAAAGUGAGAAACUACGAAACUACAGGGAGGGUUUUUGAAGUUUUCCCUAUAUUCAAUGGAAACCGUAGAGGGGGCUUUUAUGGCUUUACCCAAUUUUUUAUGGUAUCAAAGCCACAAAGCCUCUAGAGAAAAUCAACAGAGUUGUCUUCCUUCUUUCUUCCUUCCUGUCGCAAUUUUUCUUCCUCUCUAUUAUCGUUCUACCUUAGAGUAUUAGUGCUACAGUACUGCUGCUACAGUAUUUAGCUACAGUGCAGGCGCUAAAGUAUUUGCUACACUAGUAGUGAUCCUGUAGCCGACAAUACUCAUCUAUGUUCGUAAAACCCUUACUAAAAUUUUCUAGUCGUUGGAUCUGUAGUUAUUACUUGCUAGUUUUUCUCGAGGGUAUUUUGUAAGCGUUGUUUUUUUUUCUUUAAUUGCUACUGCCGCAGAGUUAUUCCUUGUUCUCUUCGCCUUUAUUUUUUGACGGCAGCAAAAUUUUUUUCUCUAACUGUGGUGAAUAUCAAGACGCUUAUUCCAAUAGAGCUAUCAGACACUACAUAAUUGGUUUGGAAAUAGGUGUUCCUCAACGUGUUGAAAAACUUCGGAAUAGCCUCACACGUUGAUGGAAUGGGUGGACCACCAUCUUGGAUGGUAGAGGGCAACAAAAUGCUAGCACCCAAUCCUGAUUAUUUACAAUGGAAAAGAGAGGAUAAUACAAUCCUCUCAUGGUCAAUGCAACAUUAUCCCUUUCUAUUCUUCAGCUGGUGAAAUCCAGUUCGCCGAAGUCAGCUCGCGACACAUGGGUCUUCACUGAAAAUUACUUUUUUGACAAGACUGCCUCUACAUCUUUUUCUUUUAAGGCAGAAUUGUGUAGCAUUAAGAAGGGGUCAAUGCCUAUGUCGGAGUACAUGCAAAAGGUCAAAUCUAUUGGAGGUGCACUUUUAGCCAUUGGGGAAGGAGAGUUCGAUCACAAUCUUGUGAUGACAGUUCUGCUAGGUCUCCCAAAAGAGUAUCGUGAUUUUGUGAGUGCCUUGAAUACUCACAAAACCAAACCGACUUUUGAUUAGCUUCGUCCUCUUCUAUUGUACGAGGAAAUAGAAGUGCAACGUCAUCGAGCCAUGUUACAUCCUCUUCCGGAGAUUUUAGUGCCCUAUACGCAAACCAUGGACAAGUCUCCAGGGGAGGCCAGAAUGUUUGAUCUAGAGGAGGACGAGGACAACGAGGUGGUCAUCAUCCACAUGCCUCGCACUAGGAUCCAGUGUCAAAUCUAUAAGGAAGUGAAUUCUCGAAAUACGAGAGUUGGACUUCGCUCAGAAUCGACUAAUUGUCGAGUGGGUAUGCUUCGGAAAAGCCGAAAUCGAAAACCCAAAAAGUGCAUUACAAUGGAUCCACGAGAGCAAAUUGUGCAAAAAUCUGCACUUGGCAGAAAUUGCUCUCGGGGACCGGUCCCUGGCGGGAGGGACCGGUCCCUGGCGGGAGGGACCGGUCCCCGUAAGCAGUGUGUGCGGCAGGAAGUCCCUGUGCGCAAUGUUUGCUCUCGGGUCCCGGUCCCUUGGGAGGGGACCGGACCUUCAUCCCUGAAGGUCCGGUCCCUCAGGCGAGGACCGCUCCCCGUACGCGCAAAAAUUGGGCAGAGCCCUCUGCCCGCAGGAGUUGCUCUCGGGGACCGAUCCCUCCGUAGGGAGACCGGUCCCCGCACCCGAAAAAUGCCCAGUCUGGGGCAGUGUGUAACUUGGAAAGUGGGGGGUGUUUUGUGCAAAUGUGCACUUGUGAAGAGGUAUAGGAGGGGAUGAGCUCUCUCUCCCUCAUUUCUCUCCCAAAGAACACUCUCCCUCUCUCUCUCUAAACUCUGUUUCUCUCUCUCUAGAAGGUGAAGAAGGAGGAGGAUUUGGUGGAGAUCAAGGCCAAGGGAAGGAUUAGCAUCAUCUUCUUCUUCCUCUCCACCAUUAGAGCUUGCUUUAGAGGUAAGCUCAUGAGAGCUUUCAUGGUAGAUCCCUCUGGAUGGAUUCUUAUCUUCUAGAAUUGGUUUUGUUGGAACCCUAGCUUGCCAAAUAGAAGGUUUAUGCUUGAAUCUAGGGAUUUGAGAUGGGAUUUUCGCAAGUUGCAAACCUAGGGCUCCAAAUUGGAGUUUUUGGAAAUAAAGGGUUUUGAUCUAAAUUGAUCGUGUGUUAACCUAAUUACUAGGUAUCUAAACGCGUUGGAAAGGUCGGUUCGUCGACUCGUCGAGCCGGUGCGAAGAUAUCGCCGAAACGAGUGAUCGUGGCUUCGCGUUGACUCGAAGAGUCGAAGCGGCGACUAAGGAUCAUGAAAUCAAGUUCCUAACCUCGCUACAUCGCCUAAAGGUGGGGGGUGUCAUCCCGAAGCAACUGGGCUCCUCCCUAUGUCUAAGUACUUAUAUGUUGAUCAUAUUCCAUAUGUAUAUAUCAUGCAUACUAGGGUGAUUAGAUGUUGUAGGUACUAUUCUUGCAUGCUCCUUAUAGUGUGGCAUAGUAGGCUUGACACGUGAACAUAGGGUGCAUGAGAAUGAGAUAUUGUGACAUAGAAUCCUAUAGAGAUAAGUUAAAUGAAAACUUGAUCUUGCAUCGAUGAUAUGUGACUAGUAUAGUCAAGACAUUGCAUUAUGACGAGUGGCAUGUGAACCAAGUAAACAACUUGACGAGUGGCAUUAGAACUUAGUGUUAAAAGAACACUAGUGACAUGAUGACUUAGGGGAUAGACGAGUCUCCCUACUUGACACCUUGCAUGAGAUCGGUGGCAUAGUGAUGACCCUAGUGACAGGGUAUCCUCUGUGACGAAGAUUGGAUCAUACUCACAUAGUCUGUUCAGCGCUUGUGGCGGUGGCUCCACACAAGUAGUGCGGUCCGGAGUUUGGCACGUGAGAGAUUGGGAUAGCCUAUUUGGGGUCCCAAGGGAUAGCCUAAUUGGGGUCCCGCAGACGAUUCCUCGGGUGGUUCGAGUCCUCCAUCAUAGACGGAUUUGAGAUGUGAGUCGUGGGCGCGCCUAUGGCCCAGCCAGAGGAUUGGGCAAUAAACUCAUGAGAAUUAUGUGCAUUGAGCAUAUUGAGCUUAGUAGAGUUGCAUCCAUACUUAAUGUUGGUACUAUAGCAUGUUAGUAAUUGCGUGGCUAUCUUGUUCAUUCCUGAAUUCCGAGGCAUAGUAGUAUAGUGCAAUUCUUUCAAUAUGCAUCAAUUUUAGUUCAGAUAUCUAUCUAUCUAUCUGCUUAUGCCUGCUUAGACCUAGUGGGGAGAUCGGCGGAGUCGGCGGCCGAAUUCACUGGGAACUAUGAACAAUAGUUCUCACCCCACUUUGUUGCAGGGCCGAGUUCAAAUACACCCGGCGAGGAUCGCGGUAAGGGCAUCGCGCCCUAGUUUAGCUAAAAGCUUCCAUUGCACUAAUGUACUCUCGAGGACCCCGUUGACAUAUGAUGUAGAUGUACCUUGGAAGUUGCUUAUGUAUUUUGGUAUAAACAUUGUAUAUAUUCAUUUUGGAAGUUACAAAUGUAAACUGAUGUAAAUGAAUGGUUGAAUGGAUGUAAUAGCUAGAUGUACCUCUCUUUAUUCACUUGUAUUGUAUACUUGUAUCUUGCUCUUACUUGUUAGCACUAGUGGUGCUCCGUGCUUAUCAUGUAUGUAAUUGAAUUAUUCCUGGGCGAUUCUAUGUACAUGAUCUCGUGGUUGAGCCUUGGGCGGACAGGGGAGGUGCUGUCCGUCCGGCGUCUGUUCGACGUGCCCGAACCGGACCAAAUUGGUAGCAAUCACAGGGCGUGACAAAAUCUGUGGUAAAUUCAAGCACACUACUCUUAAGUGUAAGCAGAGAUUCAACUAUAACUUUAUUGCGGAUGACAUACCCGCAAACUUUUGCUGCUGUGAGUAGGGAUGUCAAUGGGUAUGGAUACCCGAAAUUUUAUCCGAACGCGAACCCGAAUGAAACGGAUAUAUCCGAUGGAUAUGGAUAUGGAUUCGGAUAUGGAUUUUGAUUGUACCCGACCCGAACCCGAACCCGAAUUUAUUUUGUAUUAUAUAUAAUAUAUAUAUAAAAAUUUGAUGUUAUAUUUGAAUUUGUAUUUUAAAAAUUUAGAUUUAAUAUAAUAUAUUUUGAAAUAUUGAAAAAAGGAAUAAUUGUUUCGGGUUCAAAUUUUCGGGUUCAGGUUCGGGUUCGGGUUUCGGAUUUUUGGUCGGGUUCGGGUUUGGAUAUGGAUUUUUAAAAUCCGUCGGGUUCGGGUUCGGGUUCGGGUCUCGGGUUCGGAGUCGGGUUCGGGUUCGGGUUUUUAAAAAUCCGCCCCGAAUCCGACCCGUUGACAUCUCUAGCUGUGAGCCUUCAAGAGCCUUCGAAGGAAGUAUAGUACCCUGACACUAGAGCGUCCAAUCACAUGACAUCGAAUGCAGGUAUACUUUCUGAUUCUAGCCUUAGGAACAGAUAAAGUCAUUUGCUCCCUAUUACUCAUGCAUAUGAAUCUACUUUGAAUACUUCAUCCAAACCCUUUCGUCUUAAAAACUUUCUUGUUGUUCCUCAGAUUCAGAAAAACUUGCUCUCUGUUCGAAAAUUUCAUACUAAUAAAAAUUUGAUUCUGCUAGUUUUUAUGUGAAGGACAAGAAACAGGGACUAAGCUCAUCGAUGUCAUAGUUCAGGAACUUCACUUUAUCCGUUAUUGUCGACAGUUGCAAGUAUUAAAAUAAAGAUAGGUGCUUUGGUUGCCUCAAAAGUUAAUAAUGGUAACUUAUGGCAUAGAUAAUUAAGGCAUCUGAGUUUGAAUGUUUUAUUCAAAUUUGUUAAAGAUAAUAAUUUUUAGGAGAGUUUGAAGUUAAGAUUUCAAAUUGCAAUUCUUGUAAUAUCAGUAAACUUGUUAAACUUCCAUUUAAUAAAUGAGAAUCUCAGUCUAUUUCUCCAUUUCAUUUAAUUCAUUCUAAUGUUUGACAAUCACCUAUUUCUUCUAUCUCUAGUCAUAAAUAUUACAUUGUUUUUGUGGAAAAUUUUACUCGCUACUCAUAGAUAUAUCUUUAGAAACAUUAACACGAGUUUUUGAUAAAUUUGUUGAAUUUAAGGCUAUGAUUGAAAAUAUUUUUGAUAAGUAAAUUAAGUUUUUCCAAUCUGUGGAGGAAAAGAAUGUUAAUGAGAAAUUUUCGUUUCGUUUUCAUCAAACUAGUGUUAUUCAUCGUAUUUCUUGCCCUCACACACCACAACAAAAUGGUGUAGUUGGGCACAAACAUAGACAUUUGAUAAAUGUAGAGAAAACCAUUCUUUUUUAUUCUUGUAUGUCUCCUCGUUUUUUAGCAGAUGCCCUAAUGCAAGCUAUUUUUCUUACUAAUCGCUUGCCCUCUCUUACUAUUCUAAAAAGGAAGUCACCAUAUCAACUUUUAUACGGUCUUAAUCCUACAGACUUGCAACUUGUUAGAGUUUCCGGAUACUCGUGUUACCUUGACUUACAGGACAUUACGAGAUAAAACUCUCCCCUCGUUCCCUACCUUGUGUCUACCUUGGCAUUUUAGAUAAACACAAGAACUUCAGAUGUUUUUAACCACAGAUUGGUAAAGUUUUUAUCUCUCGUCAUGUUAUUUUUAUUUAGUGUUUUCCUUUUUCUUGCCUGACUAAAUUCUCUCAAACUGACAGCUCUAACUUUCAAAUGUUUCAAGAUUUUUUUUUUUUAACCCUCCUUUGUUAGGAAGUGAUCCUUUUAACUCUUCAGGCUAUUGCAAUUUUUAAUUUUCUUCCCUCUAAGGAUUCUUCUACUGUUCCUUCUUCCUCCGCUUCUAAUUCACAUGUUUCUAAAGCUGCAAAGAUCACUAAUACCAACGAUAAUUUUAUUGCUCAUUGACUGGAACUAAAAGUUUAUCCACCACCAUCGGUCAGAAUUAGCUCUAAGUAUCUAUUAGGAAAUCCACUUUCAAACAUUCUAAUAUUGAACCAUUACCUUUCUCACCACCACUCGUCCCACAAUUACCACAAGCCGACCCUGUAUCCUCUACAUCCACUUUACCUUUGCUACCGACACUUCAACACCAACCAACAGCAACAACCCCCCGCCCCCACACCUAUACCCUUUAGAACCCAUGGUAUGCUCACAUGGUCCAUGACUAAGCAACGGGAUACUUCCAUCCCUCUCUUGAUUUCCUCACAAUCUACUUUUCUAGUUGAACCUAAUAAUUUGUCUGAAGCGUUUCAGGAUACAGGAUGGCGUCAGGCAAUACAGGAAGAAUUUCAGACUCCUCUCUAAUUCUACCUAGGAUCUAGUUCCACCACCAACCUCUGUUAAUCUUAUUGGGUGUAAGUGGGUAUAAAAAGUAAAGUAAAAAGCAGAUGGUUUCUUGGAGCAUUUGAAAGCACGUCUUGUUGCGCAAGGCUUCAAGCAGCAACAAGGGAUUCAUUUUGACGAGACUUUUUCUCUUGUUGUGAAGCCCACAACUAUUCGAAGAGUUAUUGCUGUUGCUUUAUCUUCUGAAUGGACUCUUUGCUAACUUGAUAUGCAGAAUGCAUUUUUUCAUGAUGUUCUAAACGAAGUUUAUAUGAAACAACCUCCUAGGUUUAUUCAUCCUUCGUUUUCUAAUCAUGUUUCCAGACUUCGCGAGGCUAUUAUGGACUCAAACAGGUACCCCGAGCUUGGUUUCAAAUACUAGGAAUUCAGCUGAUCCUUCUAUGUUUACCUUUCACAAUGAGGAAUUCUCGUUCUCCUAUCCUAUGUUGAUGAUAUCAUUAUCCCAGACGACUUGUCCUCUAUACUAAACUCCAUAAUGUUCACUCUAGAGAGAAUUUGCUAUGAAAGACUUGGGACCUCUUUAUUUAUUUUUUCGGGAGUGGAAGUAACUAUUUCAACUCAUGGUCUUCGGCUAACUCCACAGAAAUAUGCUUAACAGCUACUUAAGCGGCAUCGUAUAUUCGUAUGCUUUCCAGCAAGUCUGUUGCUACUUCGCUAUCAUCCACGACUUAGUUGUCUUCUCAUAAGGGUCGCCUACCUGAGGAUCCCUAUAUCUGCCACCAAAUCGUUCGGGCGCUCCAAUACCUUAACUUCACUAAACUAGAUAUCUCAUAUACUAUGAAUCUGGUUGCUCAGUUUCUACAAACACCUCAGAAUCCUCACUUUCAGAUUAUUAAGUGCAUUCUAAAUUAUUUUAGAGGGACAAUGAGUUAUGGCCUUUAUUUUUCGCAUUGUACUCCUCCCUUUCUCGUCGCUUACUCUGAUGCUGAUUAGACUAGCUAUCCUGACACUCGAUGUUCGACUUCUGAUUUAUAUUUCUUGGUUCCAAUCUUAUUUCAUGGUCUAUCAAGAAAUCUCUCACUCUAGCUCUUAAGCUGAGUAUCGUGGUGUUGCAUUUACUCUUGCCGAGAGCGUUUGGAUCUACUUCAGGAUCUUGAUGUGUCACUAUGUCAUCCUCUCACUAUCUAUUGCAGCAAUCUCAGUACAACAUACGUUGCAGCCAAUCAAGUAUUACACACAGAGAAAGCAUAUCGAAUUAGACUCAUUUUCUACGCGAGGAAGUACAACUAAGUGAUUUCUCUUUACUUCACAUUCCUUCCGACAAAUAGUUAGCUGAUAUCUUCACAAAACCUUUGCCUGCUGCUCAUUUUACUGCGCUUCGUAUUAAUCUUCACAUCCAGCCUCAGGAUGCUCGGAUUGCGGGAGCACAAUAGAGAUUAAUUAUUUCUGUAUUUAUGUAAUUAGCACUAUUGCUAGUUGUACUUUACUUAUACAGCGCCUAGUUUAACACAACAUGUACUAUAAGGUGUUUUUUGUAAUUGUGUUCACUACAUAUUUAAUGGAAACCCUAGAGAGGACCUUUACGGCUUUAACGAUCUUUCAUCUUGGGCAUCUAUACUCUGCUUUGACCUAAUAUACACUAAUCUACUUGCAAAUUUAAAAAUUGUUAAUUUUGCUAAUCAACUUCAUCUAAUAGUACCCUAAUCCUAAUGCAACCAUUUAUAUGAUUAAGUUGAAAUAAGAUCCAAAUCUAGCUAGUAAAGCUUCGUUGUCAUCAACCAAAUGGCCAAGUCACAAACAAAUGACCCCUUCUGUUAUUCUCUUUGUAAGGUAAGAACCAAAUGCAAGCCAAGUAACUAUAAUCUAAACAGGUAAUAAUUCCUCUGCUGGGCUAGACCACAGUGAUUUGUGGGUGAAUGUGUAAAGCCCACAGAGCAAAAAUAACCUAUUACGAGUUUAUAGUCAAAAUGGUCAUCAAUACAUUGGAAGAAGCUGCGAUGAUUUAUGCAAAACAAUCAGUUGAUAUUAAGAUAGGUACAUAUGCAAAAAAAAAAAAAAAAAAAAAAAAAAAAAAAAAAAAAAAAAAAAAAAAAAAAAAAAAAAAAAAAAAACAUUCCUAUCUUGUAAUCAGAUAAUGUACAUCAAAUAGAUCAACUCGACAACAUGCAGUAUUUACGUUAUAAUGGGUUGGAAAAAGCCAUUUACGCUAAUUGAGCCAUAAGAGUCAGAUUAGUAAUUGCUAGUUUUGAUAAUGCGCAGGCUUUAUAAGGGUUCAAGAAAGGCCAUUUACCAAUCACUAACUGAUCAAUCAAGAACAUUACAGAGGUGCAUCUCAUUAUCUCUUCCCUUCACCAUCCAAUUUUUCUUGCCCGUUUCUUUUUUCACCUCUCCAACCAGACCAAGUCUUUUUGACCAAUUUAGCAAAAAAACUAAUGCAUUUCGUACAGAAAUGCUCUAGCAGAUUAUAGGUUACCUGCUCCUUAUUAUUUUCCUUUUGGCAUGCACGAUUAUCAUUGAGAUUUCGUGUUUAUGCAUCACCUAACCAAGAACUUACUGAAUUCUAUUGUAAAAAGAAACAGUUUGAUUAUAAUGAAAAUUAUGACAUCUAAAAUAAAGCCCUUUAGGCAAUCAAUCAAGGUAACUUACUCUUUGAGUAAGGAGUUAUGCACGCCUUCAUGGAUACAUUCCAAACUUCAUCAGGAUCAUCAUCAGGGUCGCACAUGGGAGGAAGGACUCCAAUAUCCCUUCUCAAGUAGCAACCAUUUGUCAAAGGUUUAACCCAUAUAACUGUCUGGUUCUUCUUAGAAGCUAUCCUCCAGCACAUCCUCCGAACAAGAUCACUCAUCGCACUCCAUAUCCUUCUAUUCUUUGCAUCAGGAGCAUAAGCCUCUGGAGAAGAGUACACAAAGUAUCCCCCAGGCCUCAACACCCUAUCCAACUCCAUCAGCAGAAUCCCAUCCCUUUGAAGCCAGUCAAUCCUACAACGAGAGCAGUGGACUAACUCAAAUGAUCUGCUUGGAUACAGCAGCCUUCUUGUCCCCAAUACACCCAGAGUUGAAGGAAUUCCUCUCUCAAGUGCAAACUGUAUCUGGUUCUCAUGAACGUCGUUAGGCGCCAGAGACAUUGCAAUGAUGUUAAGAGGAAGAAGGUAUGCCCCAAAGCUCGCGACUCCGCAGCCAACAUCAAAAACAGUCCGAAUUUUUCCACCAUUAUUCAGCUUGUCAUUCGAAAACUUGAGCAUCUGAUCUCAAAAAAGAUUGGAAAUAAGGGAAUGAUGAAUAAUCUUUCCAAAACAAAAACAGAGUGAAAAUGGAAGAAACGUCGGAUGGCAUAAUUGAACCUAUUAUAGACCUGCGCGAUGUGAAUGAUAUACUUGUCAGCUCCCGUGUGAAAGUGCGUUCCGCCGCCGGGGAAAUUGAUCUUAUCUCCAUUAACAACCAUCCAUCUCUGGUCCGACUUCUCCGCCGCGAGAUGGGUAUGCGGAAUAUUAGCUUUCCACACCUCAUCCCGACUUGCAGGCCACCUUAUCGGAAUCUUCAACGUGCAAAAUUAAGACAGGUUAGGCCCUAACAGCAGCACAAGAACGACAUAGCAAACAAAGACGUUCGAGAAAUACUCACGCGGUACCCAAUGGGAGGAGGGAUGAGGCAAUUGUGGCGCCGAGGUUGCACCGGGCAGUGGCGCUCGUAAUGCUCCAUGAGCGACAGGUUGAGCUUCAGCUUGAGCUGGUAGAGAAGGUUCCGAUCCAAGCAAGGAAUCAGCUCCGACAAUCUCAUAUCACACACCUAAAAUAUUUCCAAUAAUAAUCAGAAGAGAUGGUAGAAGAAUUGGAACAUCAUCAAAUCCAUCCAAGCAGAGGUCGGAAGAAGAAGCAGCAGCCGAGAUAUAGGGAGUACAGGAAAGGACUUGACGACGUGGUUAGGAGGGAGAGUGGAGAAGGCGGGGGUGGUGGAUUCGCUGUCACCGAUGAAGCUGUGGAAGACGGGGUCGGCCCCGUCGUAGCUGGCAGAGUCGCGGCGGCGGCGGCGGCGGAGGCGGAGGGCAGGGCCGAAGGAGGUGCCGUAGUAGAAGCAGAGAAGGCCGAGGGCGACGACGGCGGCAAUGAGGAGGGAGGAGAAGAGCUUCCGACGAGGAACGACACCGCGCUCUCCUCUCCGCUGCUGCUGCUGCUGCUGCUGGCUCUGCAGCGAGCCCUUCAUUGGACCCUUUUUCGAUCUUCCUCCUGCGCUCUUGUGCUUAAAUAAAUUAGCCUUUUUCUUUCUUUUACUCUAAAUUCGAUCGGAACGAAGGGUUUGAGGAGGGAUGAUGAGAAGAGGGCGGGGAACGAGAGUAAAACGGUGGCCAGUGAAAGAGAGAUGGAUGGAGUAAUUAGGAGAGAGAAGGCGUUAUGUUGGUGCGGUGGGGUGCUCUGCCGCCUGUCGUUGUUGGAACUCGGAACUCGGCGAGUGCGCGGAAUAAGCGUUGAGCGAGAGAGCGAGCAGUGUAAGCGUGGCUAAAGAUGGAAUGAACGAAUGAAUGUUUUAUGUAAUUUUUAAUUCGACCACUGUCUGACUGCGGACAAAACUUACGAGGGCGCCCGCUCACGCAUUAGGGAUUUCCGAUUUAGUGCCACAAAAUAUACAUUAAUUUUUUAUAUUAUUUUUUAGGCAUUAAAUUUUAAUUAUGAACUUCUCUAUAGAUUUUAAUUUGUUUUAAAUUCGUCGUAGAAGAAACAAUCGACGUGUUAAUUUUUUAUGUGCAAAAUAAUAUGCUUUUUUUUUUUAUCGAAUAAUGCUAAUCCUACAAUCCCAACGGAUUUAAGGGUCGUUAUUUUUUCUCUUAUAGUCUAAGCCACUUUUUAUUUUUAAAACUAAAGAACUAACAGCCUGUUUGGUAAUUACCAGAAUUAUACUCUGAAAUAUUUUACUUUAUUUUUUUAUAUUUGGAUA
RNAcentral lists this long non-coding RNA (81901 nucleotides) under Ananas comosus (pineapple). Its description in RNAcentral is "long non-coding RNA (ACOM_LNC003803)". Lineage: Eukaryota; Viridiplantae; Streptophyta; Magnoliopsida; Poales; Bromeliaceae. The record is from RNAcentral.